This 55836-nucleotide long non-coding RNA is filed under the name Sorghum bicolor (sorghum). Its description in RNAcentral is "long non-coding RNA (SBIC_LNC012585)". Lineage: Eukaryota; Viridiplantae; Streptophyta; Magnoliopsida; Poales; Poaceae. The record is from RNAcentral.
ACCAUUCCUGACCAAAAAAAAAGGACGACCCAAGUAUGCCAAGCAUCCAGUGUUCCAUUAAUGGAUACAACUUCCAGAAGACGCUUUGCGACACCGGGUCAGGCAUCAACAUAAUGGCCGCAGUCACCUAUCAACUCCUGUUCGGAACCAUACCCCUAAAACCGACAUACAUUUAGCUCCAGAUGGAAGAUUAGACAUUCCGAAAGGUUGAAGGUUAUUGACAUGGGAGAAGACGAGCACGAUCCACCCAUCAUCCUUGGAAGACCAUUCCUCAGCACUGUUAAAGCAAUCAUCUAGAUUGGAACCAGAGAAGUCCACAUGCACUUCCCCUCUAACAAGGUACGCCGCUAUUUUACUGACCUUAAUUAUAUAGUUGAAGACUCUAAGCAGGUCGGGACAAGAAGAAGACGACGCAACCGUAACCAGAGAAGGCAAAAUCAUCAAGGACGGAUGGGCAGACUAUGAAGGAGAAGUUGUAAGGUCUGAAGACAUACAACUUGAACAGAACUGUCCUGAGGAGAUCGUAGCACCGAGUCAGGUGUGGAGAGAGAAGAUAGUUAUACAUGAAGAGGAGGCGCCGCCGGAACCACCGACUACGCCAUCCAGCGAAUCCCAGGACGAAUGAGAAAAUGGAGAGUCCCGUUCGGAGGACGUAAAAACACCGAACGCCUUGCCAAAAGGUAAACUUGGUAGUUAUCUUUUUCCUUUCAAUUAUUUAAAAUAGUUUGGUUAGUUAAUCAGGUUCAUAUCAUCUUGAAAAGAAAAUAAAAAUGUUGAAAAUAGUAAGCCCCAUGUGAGUAUGCUCAUGGCAUAAAACCCAUAAGUACAUUCACUGUGGUGGUGUAAAAAUGAAAUAAAUAUAUUCCUGUCCUAUAAAAAUAAAAUUAUAAAAAUAAAUUUAUGAUCCUACUAAAGAGUGUAACAUUUAUUGAGGAGGCUCAACAUGAUAAAGGCUAGGUAUUUAUGCUAACACUUAACCAGUUCCACAAAGCUUUGUUGUCUAUUUGAGCUCUACAGAAUUCAAGGAUCAAAGAAGACUAGCAGACGGAGGACAUCCUAAUCGCUGACAGAGUGCUGCCGACAUUCAAAUACACCUCCGCCAGCUGCUAGCUACAUUAGAAGAGAUUGUGUCAAAAUCCAGCUUGGGGGAGAGCACCCCCAUUUAUCCAGCUAAGUGUUCUACUCACGUUUAUAUUUUACUCAAAUAAUAAAAAGAUGCAUAAUCAUAAAACCCAAAUAAAGAUUUUGUGCUUAUAUAUAUCUUUGCUUAGUUUGCUAAAUAAAUAAAUAAAUAAAGUUUGCUAUGAACCCUCAUGAUAAGCUAUCACAUGGAAAUGAUGAAUAAUUGCUCUGCCAUGGCUAGUUCUUAAAUUGAAAUCUCUCUCAAGUUAGGCAUGACUGGUAUUAAUUAAGAUUUGCUCUAAACCUAAACUUGUGGGGAGAGUACUUGAUCUAAAGUCUAAGUCUUUAACGGAUACGAUAUGGGAAGGUUGAGCUGCUGUUUAUCUGUUCCUAGAGAAGCUAGAAUUCUGGAGAAUUUUAUCUUUGAAAAUCUUUAAAAUGUUGCAUGAUGAGUUCCUAUAUGAUGAGAGUUUAAAUUCCUACCACAGCCAUAUAUACAUGCUUGCUAAACUUUGAGCCACACAUUUACUUUUUACUGCUUAUGAGCAUUGAGUGUGGUGAAGCUGUGUAGACCCUUAGGAGCUUGUCAUGUGGUUAAGUCAAGAUUCACUUGCACGUUCACUCACACAUGCUGCUUCUACUCUCGUAGUACGCAUCCACAUAUAUCCACCCAUUUCCAUCUUCAGAACCACCCAAAAAUAUUCUACUCCUAAUCUGGGAGAGAAUAGCCAAAAACAUUUCUGUUUUCCCCUGUGAAAUAAAUGCUCAAGUUAUCUUGUUACUACCACUUGCUAUAUUAUCUCAUGAGAUGAGUGCUCUAAAAAAAAGAAGAGAGAGAGAAAAAAAGUGAAUACGAGGAAAUAAAAAGAGGCAAGUGCCCGGAACCUCGAAAGAAAAGAAAAAGUGAGACGAGAGGUAAAAAUGGACAAGUGUCCGACAGUAGAAUUAGGGGUACAAGUUACCCACCUGAGAGAAAAGAAAAAAAAGAGAGAAAAUAUAGAGCAUCUCAUUCUCCUCAAAAAGUUUCAAAAGAGCAAGAAAGGUGUGUAUCCCCUCAAAAGAGCACAAGUAGAAUUAGACUUUCACUAUUGUUAUCACCAUCAUCACCAUACACCAUUCAUUCGCCACACAUGCAUAUCUUGAUUUGACUUAUUGACUUGUUCUUCUGGAUCCAUGGUUUGACUAUGCAAUAAAUGUCUUGUAAGUAUGUAUUAGCUGUCUCCCACCUAUGAGCUCCAGAUAUCAAAACCUUAUUAGAGUAGGGUGAGAGAGAAGGCAAUGACACUAUGCCUUAUACCACAAAUACCACAUACUUUGAGAGAAGGCAUAUACCAUCACUGCCUUGGUAAGGAUCCAGAAAUACCACAAAAGAGAGACUAGAGAGAGUCAUACAAGGAAUCUCUGAGUUUUAUUUGAAAAUCUGCAAAAACUCCAGAGCUAUAGUUAAUCGAAGAACAAGAGACAUGACGCUUGACUAGACCGUUCUAUCUUUUAACUGCUCAAGACACAAGUGACGGUUGCAAUCCCCAUGGUGGAAGGUACAAUGGGUAAGUUUAAAUCUUAAUAGUUUACCCUAACCUAGAGAUGAGAUCUUAUUUGAACGCAUGUGUAUCUUUAAGGCAUAAAACCACUGCAGAAACUCUUGAGUUCAUCUUUGCUCAGGGACGAGCAAAUGUUAAGCUUGGGGGAGCUUGUUGACGGUCCUUAAUGCUCACAUUUAACCAUCAACUAAUCAUAGAAAAGGAUCCAAAUGCAACCAACACCUAGACUUAGGGUUUUAUCUGACAGAAUUCCACAAGUUUUGGUGUUUGUCUAUUUCUGCAGGGGGUUAUCAGGAAAUACAGAAGAAAGGCCCACACGUCGGGUUUACAUAGAGAUAUUAACGUGCCGCGCAAUUUUCUAUCAUCUAGAAGACUCCAGAAGCCACGGGACCGAAGCGGAGGCCGAGAGGACACAGGGACAGGGCGCCCGACCUCCUUUCCUGGGCACCCGCCCUCAGCCAGAGUCCAAUCAGGACUCUCUUUCGGGAUAUUGCUCCACCGACCUAAAGGAUCAACAAUAACCGUUCAAUCAAUGUCGGUUUGAUCCGACGACCCAGAUUCACUUGAAGGGACUAUAAAACCAGACCCCCCUGGCCCCUGGAGAUCAUACCUCUUCUACAGAACCAAAGCUAGGGUUUCAAUUCUUCAUCCAAGUAGAGAGGAUCCCUCUAGUUCUUCUAGUUCUACCUCUAGUUCAUCUAGAUCUAGUUCUAGUUCAUCUAGUUCUAGUUCUAGUUCCUCUAGUUCUAGUUCUAGUUAGUUCUAGUUGUAAUCUAGAAAAUAGGGAGAGAGAAGAGGAGAGCGGAGGAGGAGCCGGAUCUGUCGGAUCUUCCUCAACAUUGUACUUUUGCAGCAACUGGUUCGUUCUUCAUCGUUCUCCAGGUUCUUCAACUCAUAACUCCUGAGUUCUCUAAUUACUUUUAUUUACAUUCAAGUUAUUUAUUGGAUUCCCGCUUGCAUCAAGUGCUCUAAUCUUUGAAACAUUAGAGUAGUAAUUAAUAGAUUAGACGUGGUGUUUAGUCUUGCAAUUACCUGGAAUUACACCCAAUCCUGCGGAUUGUUGUGGUAGCCUUAGGGUAGUGACAGCCCUAACGGUCGACGUAUUCCACCACGUUCGGAUCGGUGUUUGUAGGACCGUAGUCAGACCUUCCUAGCCCCCUUCUCAUCUCUUUCUGUGGUUAGUGCUCUGAUGUCCCGAUAUAGAUAAUCUUGAAGUAAUUCUUGAUUCUUAGAUCAACUAGAGAACUCUCAGGAAACUUCCUCUCUUCCCACCAAAAAUAAUUAUAUAGUUAUCCUUGGGCGAUCUUGGAUCUUAAUUAGUACACUCACGUUCUCUGUGGAAAAUCGAUACUCUGGAAUACUCCCGGGUGAAAGCUACAUCGGUAUCCCUGCGCUUGCGGAUUUUUCUGUUUGCGUUUAAAAUACCCAACAGUGGGAAACCACACAAGGAUGCAAACACACACCUUCAGAACUUUCUGGAAGUGUGUAGCACCAUCACUAUCAAAGGAGUCACAACGGGAGCCAUCCACUGUCGCUUAUUCCCAUUCUCUGUGCUUUGGAAAGCAAAGCAAUGGUUCUACACUCUCCAUGAUGAUGUUGACACAUGGAGCAAGUGUGCUACAACAUUCCUCAACAAGUUCUUCCCAAUGAGCAAAACAUCAGCUCUGUGGGCAAGAAUUUCCAGCUUCUGUCAAAAGGCAGAAGAGACCAUUCCCAAAGCAUGGGAACGUCUCUAGGAGUACAUUUAGGAAUGUCCUCAUCAUGGAAUCAAGGAAUGGCUGUUGAUCCAAGGUUUCUAUCAUGGGCUAACACCAUACGCUCGUAGUCACCUUUAUGCUGCUGCAAUAGGAUCAUUCACAUCCCUCAAUGUCGCACAAGCAAAGAAGAUCAUUAAGAAAAUUGUGACAAAUCAAGAGUGGAAUGAUGAACGUCCUAAACCCAAGAAAAGCCGUCUCUUAGAAGAUGGAACUCUUGACGAAGAAGAUGGAAGAAACAUUCACAGGUCCUAUCCACAUUCGACAAUGGGCAACCACGACAAAGCGGACCGACUCCACACUUCCAAGGGCAAGGUAAUUUUCAAAAAUCUAGGUCUUGUUGUUAAUCAAGCUAAAAUUAUUCAAGGCAUAAAUAAAAGGUUGUUAGAUAAUGACAAGACUCUUGAAUUAUUAACUUCUAAAAUGGACUCUCUAGCUUCUGCUGUUAAGGAUCAAUAGAACUUUGACAAGGUCUUAGAGUCCUGGAUGACUCAAAUUGCUGCUUUUGUUAAUUCUUGUUAUUCCUCAAAUGCGCUGACCACGAGAGGGGGUAAGACCACUCGUGAUCCACCAUAUCCUAACAUGACAAGGAAACCGGCAAGGAAGGACAAGCAGGAUGAAGAAGACAAGGUAGAAGAAGUAGAGUUUCAUCAACACAAUAAAGUACCAAGUUCAAUGGGAAAGUGGCACCACAUGAGUUCUACGACACAAACCUACUGAUGCCAUUCCCUAGGACGAGGACUCAAAAGACCGAUGAAUAAUUCGACAAAUUUGUUGAGGUAACUCGACAACUAUAUGUCUAUAUCCCGUUACUUGAUGCAAUGCAGGUUCCAACCUACGCCAAGUACCUGAGAGACAUCCUCAGCAACAAGAAGCCGCUGCCUAAAACUGAGGUAAUUAAACUAACUGAAGAAUGCAGCGAAGUCAUCUUGAAUAAAUUUCCAAAGAAGAAGAAGGACCCCGGGUGCCCCACAAUUGAUUGCACCAUCAGGACACAACACUUUGAGCAUGCACUGUGCGACUUGGGACCAAAUGUCAAUGUCAUGCCAAAGGUAAUUUUUGACAAGUUAAAUCAUACUACCUUGUCCCCUACAUCAAUAUAUUUGCAGCUAGCAGAUCAGUCGAUUCGCCAUCCAGCGGGAGUAGCUGAGAACAUCCCUGUCAAGAUACACGAUUUCCUUGUUCCUAUGGAUUUCGUAGUUCUUGUCAUGGAAGUUGACAAGAAGGUCCCCCUCAUACUUGGGAGACCAUUCCUCAGCACUGCCAAGGCACAUAUUAAUGUUGGAGCUUGUGGGGGUAUAAACCCCUAUACCCUUACGGCUAGACUUGGGCCAGGAGGCUUGGCCCAUUACGAGACAAGCUCAAGGUUCGAUCCGACAGCUUGGAGUUUCGCGCAAGGAAACAAGACGUGGAGAUCAACCAGGAUUCUAGUCGGUUAGAAUAGGAAUUGAUAUCGAACUAUCUAUGGCAAUUGUAACUGACUAGGAUUAGUUUCCAGAUCUGUAACCCUGCCCUCCGGACUAUAUAAGGAGAGGCAAGGGACCCCCCUAGGACAUCAUAUUCUCUCAACACAAAUCAAUACAACCAGACGCAGGACGUAGGUAUUACGCCAACUCGGCGGCCGAACCUGGAUAAAAAGCUUGUCCGUGUCUUGCGUCACCAUCGAGUUCGUAGUUUGCGCACCGUCUACCGAUAAACUACUACCGUGGGUAUACCCCAAGGUAGACUGCCGACCAGCUUUCGUCGACAGUGGCGCGCCAUGUAGGGGGUGUGCGUGCAACUUCUCCGACGAACAAGAUGGUCACGAUCCCAGCUUCCGCGACCGUGCCUGAAGGCCUCACGUUCACCGUCGGCCAGAUCACGUGGACGACGCUCAGCGGCGGCCUCACGACCACGGUUUCGAAAGAAACUCAGAUCCAAUCUGAGAACACGUCGUCUCCGACCACUCGCGUGACGGCACCGAGCGCCCGACUACCGUUCCCGCUCUACAAGGGAAAGAAGAUCGACUGCUCGGAUCUCCUCCAAGCGCUCGAUCACGCUGAUUCCAAGCUACUUGAAGCCUCCCAACUAGUGGACGGAAUCUUGCGCCAGCCUGAUCAAGCUGCUCCAACGGAUUUUUUCAAAUCCCGUCGGCCAACUCGUGUCAUUACACACGAACGGCUGGGAACGUCUCUGACGAUAACAUCAACUCCCUCAGGACGGUCUGUCCAGCUCAAGAAGGGAGACUAUCCUUGCGGUCUGAACAACUCGGCCUCUCUCUACUCACGGCACAUCCAAUCCGUUUUCAGCGAAGCGGGUUGGUCCCUAAAAAGAAACGGUCAUCACUGCGUCAACAUGGUGACAGUCCGAGAACUACAGGACGGCCAGGCUUCUAGCACCAACUCGAGCACCGGCUCCGUCCCCACCGAAGUUAUAAACACCGAAGACGAGGACUACGACCUGGAUUUGCCUUCACACCCUCCGGGUUUCCCUCGUUUCCCGGUAUUUCCCCCCCGGCGAGGAGAUAUUGUCUUCAAUGUCAGCGCCGACGAACCGGUUGUUGAUGGAGAAACAGAUGAGCAGAGGCAACUCCGCGAGCAGCGCAACGCCGAUCGCGCCCGACGACGCGCAGACGAGCAACAACAACAAAUUCCACCGCAUAAUCUUAACGACGCUUUCGACAUGGUCGGGGAUCAGCCAGUCUACAAAACGCCAAGCGCCAACGUGGCUAUCGCCAUGGCCAAUCUAGAUCGGCUCCCUGAUACCCCCGAGUUCCAGGGAGUCCGGACCAGCAUCCGAGCACACCUGAUCGCCGCAAUGGGACAGACAGCCACUCUGCUCAAGAGAGUCCGGGACGUCUCUUACACGGAAGCCACCUCCGAUCAGACUAAUCGUAGCCGGACCUCACCACCUCCCAGCAGGCAUCACCGCAGCCGCUCUCCCGACAACAGUCGAAAAGAUUCACGGCGUGACGAUGGUGGUCGGGACACUGACGGUCACCGCGAGCAGAACCGCAGACGCGGUCAAGAAGUAAACCAGCACAGGGAUCUCCGGCACUACAUCCCUCCCAAAGAUGCUCGGGACCGCAUUAACAGGCGCGCCACAGAGAGAGCAGUCCACGAAAACCUGCGCCGUAUCGAGUACGACGCAACGCACGGCCCCCCGGGCCUAAGACAGUUCUCCUCACACCUCCGCCAGGUCGUGUGGCCCCGCAAUUUCAAGCUCGAAAAACUUAAGAAAUACGACGGCAAGGUAAAUCCAGAGAACUGGAUCACUCUCUAUGAAAUCGCCGUCCGAUCAGCAGCGGGAGAUGAGCACGUCAUGGCCAACUACUUCCCCGUAGUCCUCGACCAGGCCGGUCAUCAGUGGCUUCUUGGCUUGCCCGAGGACUCCUUCGACUCUUGAGAAGAGCUACGCCAGGCUUUCAUCGACAACUUCAUCGCCACAUGCGAGCAGCCUGGAAACAAAUAUGACCUCGAAAGGAUAAGGGACAGGAAGAACGAACCUCUGCGCGACUACAUCCGACGAUUCUCGGAUAUGCGCCUUAAGAUCCCGAAGAUCUCCCACGACGAGGCCAUCUCUGCCUUCAUCAAGGGCCUGCGUUUCCACGAAGCGCUGAGGAGCAAGCUGUUGCGUAAACGGCCAACAACCGUGGCGGAGCUCCUCGCCACGGCCAAAAAUUACGCCGAUGCCGACGUCGCUGAAAAACUAAUCCGAGACGAUGCAAGAGGUCCCGACCAGCCUCCCCGGUGUGAUGACGGUCGUGGUCGCUAUGACAACAGGAACCACCGCCGCCCCGACAACCGCGAUCACAGAGAAGGUUGGGAUCGGCGGCGCGACAACCGCGACGAUUUCAGAGGAAAGCGCCCCCGCGACUACGACAACGAAGUAAAUACGGUCAAGCGUCCCAACGGGCGGCGGGACUACCAAGAAGACUACAACAAAACGUUGAAGGGACCGUGCCAAUUACAUCCAAAGUCUAAUCAUACCAUGGAAGAGUGCCGCGUCCUCAAAAGCAUCUAUACACGGCGAGCCGCCCAAGACGACUCCGCCAAGAAAAACGGCAAACGAGACGGGCACGGCCACGAAGAUGAGGAUGAGGACCAGGAUAGGGACCCCCGACACCAAUACGUCAACCCCAGUGACGUGGUCCACUCCAUCUUUGGGGGCAAGGUCUCCAUCGAAUCUAAGCGAGAAAGAAAGCUGUUAAAGAGAGCCUGCCUCAACAUAGACAGCACGGACGGGCUGAUUGCAGACCCAAAAUUUCCCCCGUCAACUCCACUGACGUGGUCCACUCCAUCUUCGGGGGCAAGGUCUCCAUCGAAUCUAAGCGAGAAAGAAAGCUGUUAAAGAGAGCCUGCCUCAACAUAGACAGCACGGACAGGCUGAUUGCAGACCCAAAACAUAGACAGCGACGAGUGAGCUCGAGACGAUGCUCCUCCUGGGCGUUCAUCUCGGCCACUUUCUCCCCGACUUCCGACCGCAGCCGGUCCACCUCCGCCAACAGGGCCUUGUUCUCGGCCACGACGCCUUCUAUCUGGUCAAAGCACCGUUUCCGGUACUUCGCCGUUUUCAUUGCGCCCUACAAAACAAACAUAUGACGACCAAGCAAGACAACGCACAGAAUGUACAGCAGUACAAAGAGUCGCUUACCUUGACUUCGUCGACGAGGCGUUUCGCUGCACGCUCCACCCUGGCGGCCUCCUCGGUCUCGGCGAGCUCCUCAUGACCGAUAAAGUGAUCCCCGCGUUGGCGCCACACAUACACGUGUUGGCGGCCAUCACGGGGACGACCCUCAAUCUCCUCCACCUCGUCGUCGGAGGCCGCCCGGGUCUCCUCCUCCCGCGCUGCGUUGCCCCCGGUAGUGGUCGCAGGCAUUACUGGCCCCCGGACCAGACCUGGGGAGCCUGCAGUCGAAGCGGCUCCUGCUCGGGGCGGUGUGGGGACUUCACUCUCCCCGGCGGGAGGAGGGGUCGGGGCUCUGCCUUCCCCUUCCGUGGCCCUAGCUGGGGGAGGCGUCCCUGUAGCCUCCCCAACCCUGGUCGGGCUGCCCGUCGUAGUCGGUGCCGCGGCCAGGAGCUCCUCGGUGGUCCCAGGGACGGCUGCAGCCCUAGGCUGCUCUGUGGUCUGCGGGGCCGCGUCUUUAGCAGCGCAAACUGGCUCACUCGUCCCUUGGCCAGUGGCAUGGCCAGGGUUGACAUCCGACGCCGCGCUAAAAAAAACUGCAAUAAAAAAAAACAAAAUCGCUGAAAUACGUAAGUCGAACACUUACAGGUCUGAGCGACGGUGGGUCGCGGUGAACCUCCUCCUCGUCUGGCCAGUCGGCACCUGUGCCCCCAACUCCGCAGUACGAGGCGCAGGUGGGUCGCCGGCCACACGAUCAGCAGUGGUCGCCCCGCUGUCCGGACGGCUAGGAGGCCUCCGGACCAAUGACGGUACGGCCUCCUCCUCCUCCUCGUCGUCGUCGUCGAUCCGAACGAACCGACGCCGCUUUGGUGCUCGGCUGCUCUCUGCCGGCAGUGUCGGCGCCGGCGACGGAUCCGCAGGCAUUGGCCUUUUACCUGCCACCCUUUCCUCGGUGGUCGGGACGGGGCGGGCUUGUUCCUCCUCACUGCUGGUGUAAUGAGUACACCGAGCAGCGUCCUCCUCUGGCGGGACUUCUCCCGCAGGAUUCUCCAUCCCCGGUGCCAGUGAUACAUAAACUGUGCACCGGUCGACAUCGCCGAUCUGCAAAAGCAACAAAGAUGAGUCAGCUGCAGACAAUAUACGAAUACUAAAACAAAAUAAUCUGCAACAUACCUUUGGUGCUGGUCGUCCUAACUUGAAGGCUUGCACCCGAUCACUGCCACGGAUGAAGCCUCCGUCCGCGAAGUUGAACAGCUCAUUCAACAGCUGCUGUACCUCCGCCUUCUCCAAGAUCUCCGGUCGCAUCCUGGUCGGGUCCACACUUCCGGCAUACUCGUACGCCGAGUGCACCCUCUUCUGGCAGGGCAUCACCCGACGACAAAUGAAGUUGCCGACCACUCCAAGCCCGUCCAGGCGCGACCAGUCGAUCAGCUUCAUGAGAUCCGCCACUUGACCGUCGAACUCCGGGCGGUCGGUCCAGCUCACCCUCUUCUCAGGAAUGUAUCCCACAUCGCAGAACGUGGAGCUGCCCGGUUCCUCCCUGAUGUAGAACCACUUCCUAUACCAUUCGGUCAAGGAAGUAUUCCAUGGACAGUGCAGGUAGCGGUUCUUCAUUCCAUCACGAAGGUUGAGGUAUACUCCACCUGCAACCUUGGAGCCUCCAACCGCUCCCUUCUUCCUCAAGCAGAAAAGAUAAAGAAAAAGAUCGAAGUGCGGCUCUAUACCAACAUAGGCCUCGCACAGAUGGAUAAAAGUGGAGAUAAGGAGAAUUGAGUUCGGGUGCAGAUUGCAAAUCCCGAUCUCAUAAUACAAAAGAAGACCUUGAAGAAAAGGAUGAACAGGAACCCCAAAGCCCCUCUUAAUGAAAUCUUCGAACACGACAAUCUCACCGGCACGAGGGUCGGGGAAGCUCUCCCCUUCCGGUGCUCUCCAGCCGCCGAGCUCCGAGCUAUGCAGGAGUCCCAUCUCGACGAGGUCACCAAGGGACUUGGUGGUGCUACGGGACUUCUUCCACUCCUUGGCCAUGAGUUCGGCCCUCUUCUUGGAGUCGCUCUUCGCCAUUGGAGGUGAGGAAGUGGACUUGGGUUACGAAGAUGAAGGUGAUUGAAGGAGGCAAAAGAGGAAGGCCUGAUGGCAAUGGCAGGGUAAGCAGUACAGGCGGAACUGUCCAGCUCUUAUAACCCGCAGCUCCACCCCUCCCACUUCCUGUAUUCUCGGGAAGUGGGCGGGCCAUGCGGCGGAUGCGGCGUUUCGGUUUUCAAUGAUUAUAGACAAUUAAUGCGGCGGAGUUUUCGUACCAAUUGAUGGUUUCCUUUUUUCAAACCACGCAAAGGGCGGCUGCACAGUUGCCAAGCGCAACUUUUCAUGCAUCCAUCUCACACACCAUCAGAAGGUCUCGUCACGUCAACUUUAACUGGAAAGAUUUUUUCAAAAACAAGAAGACAAAUAUGGCAGAGAGUCAACAAUCCAGGGACUGUACCGACCACCGAGCAGUUGAUGCUCGGGGACUGGUCGACCAGUCUAUCAACUCGGAUGCCAAGGACUGCACCGACCACCGAGCAGUUGACGCUCGGGGACUGGUCGCCCAGUCUAUCAACUCGGACGCCAAGGACCGUCCCGACCACCGAGCACUUGAUGCUCGGGGACUGGUCGCCCAGUCUAUCAACUCCGAACUUUAAUAUAUCGCACCGACCACUGAGCGCUCGAUGCUUGGGGACUGGUCGUCAAACAAUUGUACACCCGGGGACUGGUCGAUUAGUCUAUUCAAUUGCUGAUGAACUAGUAAAUUCAAUUUUAAUUUUUUAGACCUUGCUACAAGGCUCAUACUUCGCCUUCCAGCAAGCUCGGGGACUACAUCGGUACGAUACAUCUGGCGAUGCAUCUCAGUUUCUGAAUUUCUUUGAGGACUUUUCUUUUGACCCUGGCACCACGUGCCUACGUCACCUACUACCAGGCUUGAGGACUAAGUGGGCACACUUCACCUUGCGGUGAAUAUGCUUGCUUUUUUGAAGUUUAUACUUUUCUUAAAAGUAAAGUGGGCACACUUCACCAGGAAAGAAAUCUUUUUUAAUUUAGAGCACCAUGCAUUCUUCGAACAAUCAGCUUCUUUGAUGUCAAUAUUGAUCAACUAUCUUUUGAGUUGGUCAAAGUACCGUUGCAACUGUUUGGGCGACUCUUUUGUUUACUGAAGACGUCAAGCCUCACUGAUCGAAGAAGCUCAAGACGACGUGUUACAUCACAAUACAUGGUGCUCGGGGACUAGCUGUGGGGGUAUAAACCCCUAUACCCUUACAGCUAGACUUGGGCCAGGAGGCUUGGCCCAUUAUGAGACAAGCUCAAGGUUCGAUCCGAUAGCUUGGAGUUUCGCGCAAGGAAACAAGACGUGGAGAUCAAGCAGGAUUCUAGUCGGUUAGAAUAGGAAUUGAUAUCGAACUAUCUAUGGCAAUUGUAACCGACUAGGAUUAGUUUCCAGAUCUGUAACCCUGCCCUCCGGACUAUAUAAGGAGAGGCAAGGGACCCCCCUAGGACAUCAUAUUCUCUCAACACAAAUCAAUACAACCAGACGCAGGACGUAGGUAUUACGCCAACUCGGUGGCCGAACCUGGAUAAAAAGCUUGUCCGUGUCUUGCGUCACCAUCGAGUUCGUAGUUUGCGCACCGUCUACCGAUAAACUACUACCGUGGGUAUACCCCAAGGUAGACUGCCGACCAGCUUUCGUCGACAGAGCUGGAGAAAUUCAAUUCACUAUCAAUGGGGCCCAAGAGAAAUUCAACUUCAAGCCAAAAGUUGAGCAGUGCUCAAUGAUCUUGGCUACAGAACUGGCUACAAUUAUUGCCCUAACGCACACCAAAAAGAAGGCUAAAUCAAAACCACGGGCAAAAGCCAAGCAAAUAUGGAAGAGAAAAAUAGUGCCUCCGCCCAAGAAGGCCUCUACAGCACCUCAGGGAGGUCUUGAUGAAAGGACCUGAGGCAACUGCUCUUCCAUCCAGGUAAGUCAAACCAAGGUGAGUUUUCAAACUUUUAAAAUUUAGCAUUUAUUUUCAGCAUUUAUUUCUUAGUUUUUCUUAAUUCAAAACAUUUUUCUGUCGACCACAGUUGUGCAUAAUAAAACCUAAAAUCAACCUCUGCUUAACAUGCAGAGCAAAUGGACACCAGGUGGGGCCCAAGGCCAGGUCGGCCGACCUACCCUUGGUGGGUCCACCUACUCAAUUUUGCUCCAUCAUCACACAAUCCCAUGCUCAUGUCUGUGCCAAAGUGAAAACUAAAUUUCAUGACAUGAAUUGCUUCACAUGCCUACUAGAGAAUCAAGAUGAAGCUAGCUUGGUAACUUUUGUGACGUUAAGCAAAGAAGUUUUACAGCAUAAUGCUUUUUUUCUCUGUUUGAGUACCACCAGAGCCUAGGGGAGGCCAAAUCACGGUCGGCCGACCAUGAUAUUGGGCCCACCUCCCUCCAGCUCCUGGUAUUUGUGAUCUUAUGGCUCUAGGAUGAGUGUUGCAAGAAUGUAAGAUAGGUGGUUGUCGACUUGCAUUCCUAGGAAUUAGUGGCUCUCCCUCACCUGCUUGCUUAGGAAAAUAGAAUUAACAAAUUGGCUAUAAGUGAUCCAAGAUACUAGAGGAACAUUUUCAUGACAAUCCUUCUCCCUAACAUCACUUAUGCCCCAAUCCACCAUUCAUUUUGGCUAAGCAAGCUUAUUUAGCACUAAGCUAAUCAUAAAAGGAUGAGAAGGAUUCUCCUGUGAGAACUCAUGACACAAAAUGCCACCAACUCCUAGUCUUGUCUUGCCCCCUCUCUUUUGCUUUCUUUCCUUUCAUCACUUCAUCCAAGAAAGGGAGAUGCCAUGCACCAUCAUCCAAAGCAAAAUAGGGGCAUGUUAUGCAUGCACCCAACAUGGAAUGACCUCCACUCACUCUCAUCUUUGACACAAAGCAAAGGGCGAGGAAAGGUGGGUCGGCCGACCCAUGAAGGAGGGCACCCUCACAUGCAUUGUGAUCCACCUCUCAUAGUAUUGCUCCUAGUGGGUUCACUUUUUGAAAUUGUGGAGAGAGGCCGGUUGACCGACCACGCUCUGGUGCACCCAGCAUAGCCAUUUGCUCGCAAUGCAUUCCAGAAGGUAGGUGCCACGACCACGCAGUAAAAAUGUCCAGAGGGGCAGGUCGACCGACCUUCAUAAUUCCACACCAGCACUUCUCCUUACUCCCUCCUUCAUCCAAACACACUCACACUCUUGUGCACUCAACCAACUAGUAAGAAACCCAUUCUCCUCUCCAUUUCUUAACCAUCCUUUUCUCCAAAACAAAAAUCCAAAAAUAUUUUCUUUUUAUCCUUACCAUCCAAGAGUUCAUCAUCAUGAAGAAAGUCAGGGGUUGGUGGAAGUCGGUUCUCCAUCGAAUUUCCCUUAGCUCUAGUUACUCCUCCAUGCAAGAUGCCCAGAGUCAAGCAUCAAGGGAGGAAGUAUCAUCUCCGCCACCUCAAGUAAAUGAAGAAGCCAUCCCCGAGAAAAUUCAAGAUGAGGAAACCGGCAUAUGGCUCACUCCCGUUGAGAUGGAGAAGCUUGAGGAACUCCGCGACCGUGAAUUUAUUCACACCAAGGUGAUAUCUCUUGACUUUCUCCGAAGCAUAGGCUUAGAUGAUGAGUUCACAUAAGUUUUCGAGAAAAUGGGGUGGGAUGAAUUUUUGAAUUUUUCUAAUGUAAAAGGAAGUAAAAUUCUCACCCUAGAAUUUCUAAGCACCCUAAGAAUAACAAAAUAGAAAUUUUAUUUUAGAGUGCUUAAUAAGUCUGACCUUCUAUGGGAUGCUUUCUCUACAUGUCUUGGUUUUGAUAUUCCCAACAUUAAAAUUGAGCAUGUCACUAAGCACAUGAACAAUAAAGAAUUUUGGUAUGAUAUCACUGGGGAAAAUUAUAAGGGAUGGCAACCACAUACUAGUGACAUAUGCAAUCCUACCUUGCUUUUCUUGCACCAGUGGAAAGGACUCACUUUGUUCCCUCGAGACGACAUAAGAAUUAUUAGGGAAAUUGACACUAGAAUCCUUUUUGCCAUGGUUCAUAAAAUUCCAAUUUCACCAAUGGUAGAAAUAGCUAAACAUUGGUUAUGGGCAUCAUCCCAACCAAGGAGGUGGACCAUGAAUUUAUUUCUGUGGUUACAAAAUUUUGUGCACGCCUUAAUCUGCUCAAUAACUUUGAUAAAUACAUAACUACUCCUAGAGUUGUCUUGCACAAAAGAUUUUAUAUUCAGGGCCAAUAUCUUAUGGGAGGAGCAAAUAACACAAUGUUUUUAAAAGUUUAUAAUACCCAUGAAACAAUUUUGUUGCCCUAUGAAGAACUAAAAAUAUAUAGUGGCAACCCAUUACUCCCUAUGUGCAAAAGACAUAUGAGGCAUGCAGGACCAACCACACGUGCAAGAACACGAGCUGCAGGUGAUGAUGACAGUGACUAUGAGGGAAGUUUUAGUGGGUUGCAAACGCCCCAUUCGGGACGCAGGUCUGGUACCCACAGUAGCCGUAUGUCUUGUUCUUCUUUGCAUGAUUCACAGCCCCAUGCUCAACGCAUUGACAUGGACAUGCUGACCCAACAAAUUGGUGUGCUGCGCAUUGGACAUGAGGCUAUGCAGAACACUACAAAUCAAACCUAGCAAGCCCUCCUAGGUCUCCAAGUCCAACACAACAUAGGCUGGAAUAGGAUGUAUGCGCACUAUCAGAGGCCACUACCACCAAAUAUUCCAUUCAUCCCUAUGCCACCACAGCAGCAGCAAGACCCAUCUUCACAGUAUCCUCCACCAUAUCCUCAGCAACCCUCACAUCCUCCACCAUAUCCAUAUGACUAUCCACCAUAUCAGUGAGGAGGCAUGAGAAGAGACAAGCUUGGGGGAGAUCCUCUCCCCCACCAAGGUAAGUAUUCUGGCUCUUUUAAAUUUAUUGCAAUUUCAGUAUGUUCUAUGCUUCAUGAUAUAUAUAUAUAUAUAUAUAUAUUUGAAUAUGAUAAAAAUCCCAAAAAUAUGGCCAUGCAUGCCAUCUUUCUCUUGGAAAUGAUGAAUAGUUGCUGUGUUAAUAUUUCUCUAGUAUCUUGCACUCAACUUAGUAUUUUUCUAUGUAUGGAUCACUUGGCUCACAUAAGACCACCAUGAACCUGAUUUCUUUCUAUGGGAUGCAAGUGCUAAAACUAUGUCUAAGAUGUUGUGAGAUAUGAGAUAGUAAGACAAGAGCUGCUAUAUUUUUAUUCUAAGCUUAGAUGAUUAUCGGAGAAUUUAUUUGGAAAAUAUGUAGAACAAUGGUUCCUCAAUGAUUAUAAAAUUCCUACCAAGGCCAAAUAUUUAUGCUCCAUAUAUAUAUAUACAUACUUUAGUCAUAGCUGCUUGUUAUUGUUGGGGUUUUGUCAAGGACUGAACUUAACUUAGAUUGGAGUCAUAUGUUUAGACUGAGACACACUUUGCACCCACCAUAUAAAGCCAAUUCUUACACUGAGGAUUGCGCGCAACAUGCACCCUUCCAUCCACCAGAAAAAAUGCUCUUCUCAUAUACUGGGAGAAAGCAACAAAAUUUUUGCUAGGAAAAUACUCCAUCCACUUUUUCAAAUUGAUCUUUCUCUCAGUAUCCUUUUUAGAGAGACAUGGCCAAAAAAAAGGGGCGCACCCUUGUCAAAAGUCCCCAAACGUUUUGUAGAAGGAAAAGUUGGUAGCCAUGUAUCAAAAUGUUCUUUUCUAAGAGAGAAAGAUCAUGCCAUAAAAGGAGUAUAGUUUAGUGAUAGGAUCCAUUCCACACACUUGCACGUCUCAGUCUAGCAUAUGCCUUUGAUCUUAUCUUAGUUUGGUUUUUGAUUUAUCCCCAUACAAGAAGCAAGUAUGCCCACCUUCCACACCUACUGAAACUCCACAUAAAGCCUUAGCUAUAGGUUGUGAGAAAAGCAAUGCCUUUGGUACGGUACAUUGUCCACUUGAGAGAUUGAGAAAAAUCAAUUGAGGAACCUAGUUUUCUUUGUGAAAAAUUUGAAAAACCUCCGAUAUGAAACUUGCUAAGAAUAAGAAUUUGGUGCUCUAUAUCUAAUUGUUCUAUCUCUCAACUGCCCAAGACAAAGGAAAAGCCAAAAGCCCCAUGAAGAACUAAGCUAAAUGGGUGAGUCUUUUCAUAGCUAAAUUUUUCAUACUUAUGAGAAAUAAUUUGUUGCAUACAUGGUACUCUUGAAAUGUUGACACUGCAGCAACUCCUGAUCCACAGAGACUAAGUUUAAUUAUUUGCUCGGCACAAGCAAAGGUUAACCUUGGGGGAUCUUGUUGACGGUGGAUAAGCUACAAAAUUCACACAUGAAAACACUGUCAAUAGGCCGGAAAUAGUGGAAGAAUGGCAUAGCACAGGCGUAUUUUAUCACUAAGAGGUUCCACUUGUGCUCUAAGUAUUUGGGUGCAAGUACACUUACAUUUGGGGGAAAAUGAGCUCCUGGACCCACCAAGUCCUGGUUAGCCGACCUACACUUGGGGUGGUCCAGGUGCUGGCUCAAUUCUAGGAUCCUAAGGCAACACAUUAAAGUCCAUCUCGACCCUCAGAUCACACUUGUGUUUCUGUUCAAGGUUGAAAGAUGGAGGUACAAGGAUCCAUGGACCCACUAGAAGAACUAGACCGAAGAUGAACACAAGACACCCUCCAUGACAGAUGGGGAUAGCAAUGGAGCAAGACACCUCACAAAAUUUUGGUUGGCCGACCGGCCUUUGGUGGGUCCCACCUGCCAGCUCCACUCCACCAACCUCUAGGACCUUCUAGAAGGCUCAGGGUGGCCCCACCUCACAAAAUAUCAGGUCGACCGACCUAUGAUGUGGGCCCACCUAAGGUCAGUUACACUCCACCGACUUUGGCAACACAUGCAGAUGAUCUUGGAUGUCCAUCUAAGGCGGUUCCAAUGCCGAUUUAUCCAAGGGUGGAAAAGUGGGAAGCACACGGAUCACUGACGUGGCACCCCCUCUACUCCCCCUAUAAAUAAAGGUUGCAUCCACCAUCUCUAAGUAGAAGGUGUGUUCCAAUUUAGCUCUAGCUUUCCAGUUGUAAGUGUCAGUGUUAGUCUAGUGUGGGAGUUAGAAUUGAGUUGAGCGAAGCUCGGAGUCUCCGGAGUCGUCUUCUGGAGAGUCUGGUAUUCCUCUUUACCUUUUCUCUUGUAAGACUUUGAGUAUUUAAUAUAUUUACUUUUCCUUUACUUUUCUAAGUAUUUACUUUUAGUAUUUACUUAGUGCAGUAUUCUAUUGUAGUGACCUAGUCUGUCUUAUAGUAGUUAUAUACUAGCUAAGUUAGUCUUAAGUGCUUGGGUUGUUUUCUCUGCCGGUAAAACGGUGCUUGGACUAGGUCGUAUACUUAGUCUGAGUAGUAGGAGUUAGCAUAAGCGUGGUGCUUAGACUAAAGCCUGUCCUUGAAUACCACCGUAUCAAACGUGAUAGCGGGCGGUGGCGAAGCGUGACACGCCUCUACAUCCCAGUAGGUUCUAUUCACGUUAGGUAUGGUCUGUAGGCGCCCAUAAGAAACGAUUCCGCUUGGAUAAGAAUUUUGUCCUCCUAUUGUUGUCGACUUCCAACAAACAAGCAGUUAAAUUUAGUGACGUUAGUGUGUGUCGCUACUAGAUUAGAUUGGGUCACAGGAGUAAAGUUAAAGUCAUAGGAGUCUUUUCUCACUCGUUGUCCUCCCACCUAGCUGCACUACACUAGUUAUCUCAGAGUUAUCCAGAACCACAUCAACCUUCCUCUACGUCUUUGUUACCUCACUACCUUAGUUGAUCCUAGCUGGGAUAGGAUUUCUAAUCCUUGCUAUCUCCUCUAGCACGCUUUCCCUUGGAUGAACUAUAAAUCACGACACCGCGGAUACUCACCAUGGUCGAAGUCCUGCAUUGGUAUCUGUGCGCUUGUAGAGUUACCCCUGGUAUAUCUUGCGUCAUCGCUAGAGCUUAGUGUUGCUUAGCAUUUCUGGAGCCGUUGCCUAGGGUAGCCUGACAACCUAUCGUAGUAACAGCUCAGGCUUGCAUUUAAGCACUGCUAGUUAGGCGCCACCAUUUCUAGAUACUUGUCACAUCUUACUCUAGCCGGUGUGCGUUAAGAUUUGCCAAUAAUUUUGCCGAUGAGGCUUUGAACAAGGAUGAUGAACUUAUGAUGGCCAUCAUCACUCCCUAGGCAAUCCUAGUGAAUAUAUUCAGUAGUGGGACGAACAUCAGCAUCACCUAUGAAUUCUACAAUCCAUCGACAGUAUCAAGUCAAUUGGCCUUUGGACAGCUCCCAAUUAAACUCUACUUUGCUGAUGUCAUUAAGCCAAGAGAAACAAUCACCAACAGAUUGGACUAGGACAAGGUAGUGCAACUCCCCCCUGAUGUCGAAACUACAGAUAUGGUGCCAGCUUCCUUCAUCACUGAAUCAUACAAGUUAUGGUGGCAAGAGUGGAAGGGACAAUUAUUUGUAGCAUCUUUCCAUACAUAUCGGCAUCUGAUCGACCCUGAGCAUAUCGUCCCCGAUGACACAGUAAGUUUCUUUUAACACUAGUUUCUCCUUCAAUUUUAAUUUCAUUGGCAACUAAUUUUCUCGUGACAGAUCGAUGACCCAGCACCAACCACGAGUAGGAGUGGGAAAACCUUUGACCUUCGACCCGUAUCUCCAAUAUCAACGAUCGGCUACAAUGUUCCCACCUUGGCUAUUCUGACUCAUCAGGGAGCCCGAGCCAAGAAAGUCACUACCAAGCCAAAAUUGGCUAAGGCUGGGGUCACUCUAUCGGCUGCCGCUGCGACCCUGGUAGAAGCGUUCAAGGUAACAACCCUGUUUAUUCCAAUCCAUGCCGAUUUCAAAUCGUACUCACUCAAGAACUACAAUUGGAUCAUCAUCGGCAAUUCCUCUUGCAUCAGACACUACCAUCUCUGACAAGCCUUCAUAGGUAUUCCUUCAACUUUAUAUUUAACUUGUUAAAUAUCAUAUAUUACACCCAUCUUGCAACAACAAACGAGUACAUCCGCAAGUGUCCCAGAUGUCCAACCUUCACAACCAACAAGUGCUGAUGCCCGCCAACCAACUGUUGCUAAGGCCCAAACAAAGUGCAAAGCUUCAAUAGGCACCAAAGCACAGUCAAAAUUGCAGAAGUCCGUACCAAUCUCAACACCUCAACUAGCACCUCUGAGCCAGCCAGAACCGGCUGAUGCACCUGAGCAAGCAGUCGAUCCAUCUGCGCAAGGUACGUCAUCGGACGUUGUACCCCAAGAACCAACUACAGAUGAGACUAUAGAGCAUUUGCAAUCUAUCUUGGCACCAAUUAACCCUGCGCUGAAGACAUCCCAUCGGUAGGCACAGUCGAUCCUUCACAUGGCGCACUCCAGAUUGCUUCCUCUAGUCAAAAGCAAGAGAUUGCCUUGAAGCAAGUAAGCCGACUAACUUAGCUGAUUUAUAAUAUUCAUACUUGUCCUGAACUGACCCCUUUUCUUCUUCUAGGAACAAGACUCUCCAAACAGUUUAUUCUCCUUUGCCAUCAAUGUUUCUGACGAUGAGGGGGAGGAGAUAAGCUCUGCACUCGCACUGGGGAUAGUAUCGGCAGAAGUCAAGUCCAAGCUGGAGGCUCUACGGAACCUGCUGUAGCAAGACACCGCCCAGAUGGUACAUGAUUCAGACCCUACAAAAGUGAUUUUCAAAAUGAUCCAUGGCCAAGUCUCUGCCAACAUUGAGGAGGCACUCUUCCCAGCAGCCCACUAAGAAAGCUGACAACUCUAAUAUCAGAAGGCUGCCCAAUGCAUUGCCGACAGAGCUGCUCAGGCUCAGCUUAAAGAAGAGAUGCUACAAUUGAAGUAGACUGCCAAUGAUAAGCACAAGAACAUCGGCAGUUUGAAGACCUCAGGUGCUGAACAUAAGUAGAAAAUCUUAGACUUAUUGGCAAAGAGAACAGCCCUACUAGCUGAGCUGAAGGAUGUCAAGCAGCUCUAACUCAUGUCGAGCAGGAAGAAAGCCAGUUAUCCGAUGCUAUCAAGGCCUCCAGCAAGAAAGAGAUAUCCAAGCCCACAAAGCCCUGGCGGUGAAGAAAAAGCUUAAGCAUGUGGAUGGUGCCGCCGAUGAAGAUAUCAAAUAGAUAGAGGAAGCCGAUCAGAUUCACCUACGUGCGAUAUCGGCUAACCAGACUUUAUUAAAUUUGUAAAUCUUAUUUAUUGGCAGUGCAUUGCAUCACUACUUUAGGAAACACUGAUAUUCUUGUACGAUUUUGGGCGAUAAAACUGUUAUUUGCAUUUCUACUUUUAUGCAUCCAUCUAGAUACUAGGGUAAUAUUUCUUUAAAUAUUUUCUGUUCAAUGCUCUAGGAAAUACAACCCCUUCGAGGUUUCUAGAAUGUAUGCGUUGCUAGGAGCAGAUCGAUUUAUCCGAUAAGGACCUUCCCAAUUAGGAGACCACUUGCCAAACUUCGAACUUUUAGUCCCAAUCGGUAAAAUCAAUUUCCAAACCAGAUCUCCAUCGGCAAACUCCUUUGCCUUCACCUUCUUGUCAUACCAUCUGGCUACCCUCUUUUUAUUUUCUUUGAUGCUAACUAAAGCCCUCAACUGAUGACCUGCCAAGUCUUCUAAUUCAUCUUUCAUAAGAGUAUCAUAGUCACCAGCUGCCAGUUGAUCCUGAGAAAAUAUCCGUCUAGAGCUAGUUUUAAUUUCCCAAGGCAAUACUACGUCAUCCCCAUAUACUAACUGAUAAGGCGAUACAUUGGUUGUACCAUGACAUGCCAUCCGAUAUGACCACAGAGCCUCAUUCAAUACUGUGUGCCACCGCCUAGGAUUUUCCUCGAUUCUGCGCUUAAUGAGUUUGAUGAUUCCUUUGUUAGAAGCCUCGGCCGGACCAUUAGCUUGGGCAUAAUAAGGAGAAGAAUUCAAAACUUCAAAACACAUACCGAUAGCAAACUCAUCAAAUUCUCGCGAUGUAAACAUAGUACCCUAAUGGGUAGUGAUAGUUUGAGGAAUACCAAAUCGGUAAACAAUAUGCUCUUUCACAAAAUCGAUCAUACUGGGCGAUGUUACCUUUUUCAAAGGAAUUGCUUCAACCCACUUUGGGAAAUAAUUGGUAGCAAUAAGUAUAAAUUUAUGCCCUUUGCUCGAUGGUGGAUAAAUCUAACCUAUGAGAUUGAUAGCCCAUCCCCGGAAUGGCCAAGGUUUAAUUAUAGGAUUCAUGGCCGAUGCAGGCGCUCUUCGAAUGUUGCUGAAAUUUUGACACCGCUGACAUCCUUUAAAAUAUUUAAAGCAAUCUUCAAGAAUAGUCAGCCAAUAGUAUCCAUUCUUACUGAUCAUCCAUUUCAUCUUUCAAAGCCGAUUGAUGUGCCCCGCACACUCCUUCAUGCAUUUCACCCAUCAAGCUUUUCAAUUCAUCACCGCUAAGACAUCUAAGUAAAACUCCAUCUAUAGUCCAAUGAUAUAACUCAUCAUCAAGGAGCACAUACUUAGUAGCUUGAAAUCUUAUACGUCUUUCAACCUUCUUAGAUGGAUCCCUUAAGUAAUCGACAAUCUCCGUUCUCCAGUCAUCGACAUCAACUGCUAAUGUCAGCACCUCCUAGAUAGGCUAAUACCUGAAGCAUGCUGAGCUAGCUGAUUAGCCUCUUCAUUAUGCAAUCGAGGAAUAUGUUCAAGACAAAAAUCUUUAAACUCUUUCAACAAUUGCAAACAUAUAUCAUAAUAUUUGAUUAAAACUUCACUUCGGCAUUCAUAAAUCCCAGCCAAUUGAUUUAUAACCAUCAUAGAGUCACCAAAGAUCUCAACAGCAUCGGCACGUAUCUCUCUAAGUAACUCCAACCCUUUUAUCAAAGCUUCAUACUCAGCCUGAUUGUUUGUCGAUGUAACAACAAUCGGCAAUGAAAACUCAUACUUCCUUCUUUGAGGUGAAAUCAACACAAUGUCGAUACCUGCUCCUUCACCACAUGUAGACCCAUCAAAGAAAGUGUCCAAGGAGCACUGUGUUGCAAUGCUGAGUGACAAAAUCGGCCAUAACCUGCCCUUUAACUGCCUUAGACGACUCAUUACGUAGGUCAAAUUCUGACAACGCUAAAAUCCCACUUGCCGAUUCUACCACUCAAUAUCAGCAUCGACAACAUGUAUUUGACCAUGUCAUCCUUGCAUAUGACAGCACAUUCAGCCGAUAGCAAAUAAUGCCUCAAUUUAAUACAAGAAAAGUAUAAACAUAAGCAUAGUUUCUCGAUGGCUGAAAAACUUGUCUCAGCAUCCACCAAUCUUCUACUCAGAUAAUAAAUAACACAUUCUUUCCAUCAAUUUAAGCAAUAGACUGAAAGCCUUGAUCUUGCCCGAUAGAUAAGAUAUGAACCUUCUGAUGAAAUUAAUCUAGGUGAUCAAAGAUUGCAUUUCAGUUUUAUCGGUAGGAGCAACUACCUUAUUAAUUGUAUCAAUAGACCUUCUACUGAUUUCGAUACCUCUUUGAUGCACCAUAAAACCCAAUAAUUGACCUGUCGAUACACCAAAUGCACAUUUAUUAGGAGUCAUCUUUAAUCCAUGCUUCCUCGUGCACUCCAGUAUCUUCCAUAGAUCGGCUAGAUGUUAUGCGAUAUCCCCAAACUUAACCACCACAUUAUUAAUGUAGAUUUCCAUUAAUGUGCCGAUGUACUCAUGAAAAAUAAAAUUCAUAGCUCUCUGCUAAGUAGCACCGACAUUUUUCAAACCGAAGGUCAUGAGUAUCCACUCAAACAACCCCACAUGACGUGGACAUCUGAAAGCAGUCUUGGGAAUAUCUUCUCCAGCCAUGAAUAUUUGAUUGUAACCUGCAUUACCAUCCAUGAAGCUGAUAAUCUGAUGUCCGGCUACAACAUCAACCAACAAAUCAACAACAGGCAUUGGAUAGCCAUUUAUCGCUGUAACUUUGUUGAGGUUCCUGAAAUCAAUACAAAUACCAAAUUUGCCGUUUCUCUUAUAGACAAGAACCACAUUAGAAAUCCACUCAGCAUAUCAACAUUGCCGAAUAAACUUUGCCUUAAUCAAUUUAUUUAUUUCAGCCUUAAUGUCAAGAAGUACAUUAGGGUUGCAUCGGCGUGCUGGCUGCUGAUAUGGCCGAAAUCUAGACUUGAUAGGUUUCCGAUGUUCAACUAUCAAUCAGUCUAAUCCAGGAAUCUCAGUAAAAUCCCAAGCAAAACAAUCUUUAUAUUCCAUCAACAAAUUGUUCAAUUGCUGCUUAUACUUGGAAUCUAACUUAGCACUAAUAAAAGUAGGCCUUGGCCUAUCACCACUACCAAUAUCUACCUCUACUAAAUCAUCAGCCAAUGUGAACCCCUGACCUAACUUUCCAUUAUCGGCAAACAUAUCCAUUAAAACUCCUCUUCAGAAUUGAAUGCUUGGAUCGGUGGAAUUUCAUAAUCAGCAACUCUAAGGAACUCCUUCUCCCAAGCUUCUCCUGAUAUGCAUUUGGUUUGCUCAUAAGUAUCUGAUUCUGCCGAUGCGAUGAUGUAAGAAGAGUCACCAGGGACAACCUCAAUAUUAUCCUCAACCCACCGUGCGAGGCAUUGAUGCAUUUUUGAAGGAACACAACAAUUGGUAUGAAUCUAGUCCCUUCCUAGAAGCAGAUUGUACGCACCCUUACCAUUGAUAACAAAGAACGUCAUCAGUAAGGUUUUGCUGCCGAUAGUCAACUCAACACAUACUGCCCCUUUGGCUGGUGACAUAUUGCCUUCGAAAUCCUUUAGCAUCAUAUCGGUUUUGGUCAAGUCUUGAUCUCCUUUGAAAGUUUCUGAUACAUCACAUAGGGCAUAAUAUUAAUCACAGCUCCCCCGUCGAUAAGUAUCUUAGAUAUAGGCUGCCCAUCAACUCUGCCCUUAACAAACAAAGCUUUGAGAUGCUAUCUCUCGUCAUCGGUAGAUUUCUCAAAAACAGCCAUCAUUGGAUCUAGUGCCAACUAAGCUACUUGAUUGGAGAGAACAACUUCUUCCUCAUAAUUAGAAGGUGCUAGAAACUCUAUCGGCAACAUAAAUACCAUAUUAAUAUCUGUCGAUGGGCAAUUACCCUUGUGUUUCGAUUGCGACUGCCGAUCUUCAAGCCUCUCAUUGGAAGAGCUUUCCUCUCUGUAUAGGUCUUCCUGAUGCUCACACUGCAUCCUCCUCUUUUGUGUCUUUGUCAGACCCUCAGGGCACCAUUGGGAAAGCUUAGUUUUGAAGACCAGCUGAUAACGGGUCUCAGUUGACUCUACACGACGUAUAUUAGGGUCCCUGUAGAAUACUUUUUCAUCGAGAACUCUUGCGUUUGCCAUCUCCUCAAGCUCUUCUUGAUUCAUUGGAAAAUAGCCAGUGCGCUUACCAAGCCUUUCAUGUACACUGAGUCUACCCCUAGGCGAUCAUGCACUGAUGCUCUGCCUCUGAUUGGCUCAUGGAUAGCUAAGCCCUGGUUACUAGGCUGAAACCUCCUUUCUCACGGAUUGGCUCGAUAGUAACCAUUGCACUCAGAGCAAUUUUCAACAGUUGGCAAUUUAAUGCCUUCUUCCUAGCAGUAGAUGAAAAACGGGCACCUCCAAUGAUCUUUAUGUUGAUGCCACUCUUUUCGAGAUCUCUCUUCUUGCUGUUGUCGAUAUCGGUCCUCACGCCGACGCCAAUCCUCCUGCUGCCUUCCUCCAUGUUGCUGUCGAUGAGUGAUGACAAUGCCAGGUUUCUUGGAACUGCCACUUUCUUCCAGCAAGCCCUUUCCUUUUGUGUCAUUAGUAGUUAUCCGAUGUUGGGGAUCCAUCGAUGCAUUCUUCUCAGCAGCCUCUAAUGUCAAUACCUUGAUCUUACCCUUGGUAUCCAACAUAUUUGUUGGGAAAGGAUGCUGAUCGAUUUUCAUUGGCUUAUGGGUCUUGGAGUUGUCAAACUUAAUUCUCCUAGACUCGAUAGCCAAUUGCAAUUGCUACCUGAACACCUUGCACUCAUUUGUACUGCGUGAAGUUGCGUUAUGCCAUUUGCAGUACUUGAUCUUCUUCAACUCUUCUGCCAAUGGAAUUACAUGAUUGGGUGAUAGCUUAAUUUGACCUUCUUGAAGCAAAAGAUCAAAUAUCCUAUCAGCUUUGGUGAUGUCAAAAGUGAACUUCUUUGGUUCUCUCUGACCAAAAGGACAAGAUAUCGACCUUUUAUUCUUAACCCACUCAGCCAAGGCAAUUACUGGUUCUUGAUCAGAAUUAGAGUCUUCUACCUCAUCGACAAAUGACACCUUUUCGCUGCAAUUCUUUCUAGCCUCAAAAACCCUAGUGUCCUGAUCAGAGAUCCUUUGUACAAGAUGACUUAGGCUUUCAAACUCCUGAGAAGCAUACUUGUCCUUGAGAUGUGGUAAUAACCCUUGAAAAGCUAGAUCAGCAAGCUGCCGAUCAUCUAGCACCAGGCUAUAGCACUUGUUCUUCACAUCUCGUAGCCUCUGCAUAAAGCUUUCUACUGAUUCAUCAUUAUGUUGCCUCAAUUUUACUAAAUCGGUAAGCUUCUUUUCAUGGACUCCAACAAACAAGUACUUAUGAAAUUGUUUCUCUAGAUCGGCCCAAGUAAUAAUAUAAUUUGGUGGCAAUGAUAUGAACCACGUGAAUGUCGAUCCAGACAAAGAUGAUGAAAAUAUUCGAACUCUUAAUUCAUCUGUGCUAGCUGCCUCUCCACAUUAAAUAAUGAAGCGAUUGAUGUGCUCCAUUGUCGAUGUAUCAUCUUGUCCAGAGAAUUUGGUGAAGUCUGGUACCUUGUACCAAUUUGGGAGAGAAAUCAAAUCAUAUGCUAGAGGGUAUGGUGUCCGAUAAGAAUAAGCAUUAACUUUGGGUUUUAUCCCAAACUGAUCUCUCUUGAUUUCUGCUGUCUUAUCGGCCCAAUAAGCAUCAGCCCCCUACCGACGAACUGGCUGAAUUUCUACAGGAGGCACCUGGUGCUAUGCUUCCACGUGUCUUUGUGGCACACGAUCUCCAGCAACUGGCAUAUUCGCCGCUGCUUGUGGCCUAGUAACCUGCUGGACAGGGUUCAUCGGCUGAGCUGCCGAUGCCUGAUUCUGAAAGCUAGCUUGUAUAUGACCUUGCUGAGUUCGUGCAACUUGAUAGUUUUGCUAAACUUAUGCUAAACAGGUAACUGUCCUGACCAACCAUUAUUAGAAUUCAUCGACACAAAGCUUGUCGAUGGUUGGUAACUUGCUGACAUUGUUGGAUAACAAUUAGCAUGACCAGCUUGAGUAAUGAACUGCACCAUAGGUUGACUCAUAGCAGGAGCCUUCUGUUGCAUCGGCAGCAGGCUUGCCAAUGAACUUGUAUUGGGUGCUUGAAACGAAGGCACAUGGAAACCUCCUGAAUUUGGUUGUACAGUAGUCGAUGUAGCAUAUUGAGGUACCUGAGUAAUCGGCAUUUAGUUGCACAGUAGUCGAUGUAGCAUAUUGAGGUACCUGAGUAAUCGGCAAAACUGGAGCAGCCGAUGGUACAAGAGCUUUUCUUGCUGCAUCAAACACUUGAGGCAACCUAGAGCUGAUGGAAGACAACUCUAGAGGCAUACCGUAUCCCCACCAAUUAGCAGGAAUCUAGCUGUUCUGAGACACAGGCCCAACGUAAAGUGGUGGUGCUUGUCCUUCUUUAAAAGUUUGAACCACGGCAUUGUUAACAGUAUUGGACAUCACAUUGGAGUGGUUAAUCAAAGCAUGAUUUGCUAUACAAUUAACCAUCUCUUGAAGUUUACCAGGAUUAGAGUCAAAGGUAACCUGCCGAGGCAACAACAGAUCUUGCUUCUAGAUGACUUCUCCACUCAUGUUCAAGCUAAAUGAUUUUAGACAGAGCUGCCUGUAAUCCUCCAUAGCCUUUUCCAUAGCCUAGUUAUGCUCUUCCUUGAGAUCUCCUUCUGAUAUCGUGAUGACGUUCUUCUUGUCGAUCUCAGGAUUCAGCAUGUUGAUCAUGUUGACUUGUCCCACCGAGCAUGCCAAAAGAUGUGUUGAUGUAAAAGUGGAUCUGCAAACACAAAGGGCUAAUACCCAAUCUGAUAUCCAAAGUGUGCCAGUCGAUUUGACCCGUUAAUCGACAAGGAUGAUAACUCGAGUACUUUGGUCCUAACAACAGCGAUGCGCCCGGAAGCCACGGCCAAGAGGUACUCACACGGAACUCAAGGAUCAUCAAAGGUUGCAAUGAAGCGAUGCAGCUUGUCGAAUCGAUGAGAACUUGUAAAAAUAAAAUACGCAAAUUGACAAAGUCGCCGAAAAGUAAGUAGAUGCAACUAGGAGUAAAAUUGGUUUGAUAUUGAUUGAUGUGUUUUUUUACAUUGCCCCUCGGUCAAUAUUUAUACCCUGAUUUGAAGAAACCUAACCAGACACGACUAGAACACCGAGUCCAUAUCUAAGGAAAAACAUGACUCUUACAUGAGUCAUACUCUAACAAAUACAGAAAAGGAAUACGACACCUAUCUACUUCCUUGUCCGCCUUAAUUACAAUAAAACUUUCAUCGGCUUCCGCUCCAUUCGCAUGCUUUCCGUCAUCAUAAGCUUCAUUGACAGUAGUCUCUAGAUCUUCCUUCAUCGACAUCGGCAAUGACACCUCCGAUCUUCUCAGCAACGCCUCUGAGUCUAAGUCAAACGACAACCUUUCCAUCGGUCACCACCACUCAUCGACAACAAUCCUCAUAGGCUGAUCUUCAUCGGCACCCUUUUACCAGCAUAAUACAAUAACUUUCCUUCUGUCGAUUAGCCCACUCUGAUCAUUUUGACAGGUGCCAAAAAUGGUGUCACAGAUGGAUUUUAUUACUACAAGAAUUUGACUUAGAAAUAAAAGAUAAAAAGUGUUGGUGCAAAAGUAGAUUUGCAAACACAAAGGGCUAAUACCCGAUUCAACGUUAAGGCGUGCUCGCCGAUUUGACCUUACAAUCGACAAAUUUGAUAACUCGAAUACUUUGGUCCCGACAACAGCGAUGCGCCCGGAUGUCACGGGCAAGAGGUAUUCACGCGGAACUCAAGAACUCGCUGAGAUUGACUCGAUGAAUCCUUAAGAACUCGUAAGUAAAAAGAAAAUAUGCAAGGUGACGAAGUCGUCGAAAAGUAGAUGCUGGAAUAGAUGUAAAAACUUGUGUUUGAUUGAUUGUGUGUAUUCUUACAUCGCUACGGGGUCUACGUUUAUACCCUGUCCAAAAGAGUUACAAUCAGACACGACUAGGUCUCAAAUUCCAAAUUGAACGGAAUCCGUAUGCAAAGCAAACUCUAAUAACUAUGGAAAACAUUAAUUUAACCACCACAACCGAUCGGCACAACAUCACCAUCCGAUCGAACAUUCCUAUGCCUCCUUUUGUGUCCAUCGGCAAAUCAUCUUUCAUAGCCAUCGGCAACCAUCAGCACCAGUCAUCGGCAUAAAUCCAUCACCACUCCCGGACUUGGCCACAUUCUGUUGUUUCAUCAUCGGUAUGAACCCUCAUCGGCAACUCUUCUGUCAACCAGUCACCACUUUACUUGCUUGCCGAUCUACGCCUCAUUAACUCCCAGAUACGCGUCCAAAGAUACGUGUCCAAAAACGGUGUCAACACAUGCCCCCCAAUUUCGGAGUAUAAAAUCAUUAAUGCUCCGAAUUUCUCCCCAGUAAUGAUGCCUUUCCACAAUUACUCGUUCCUGUCAGUAAUUAAUUACCAAAUCCAAACAACCUUAGCCCGGUCUUCCAGGACGCACCUCGAAUCUCUCAACUUCUCGAACCGAAUCUUCCCAAUACACGUUCAUCGGCAAUGUUUCUGUUAGAAAGGAUUGCCGAUGGGCCAACUAGGAGAUCUUCUACAGUGAAACAUCACCCAAAAUCAUGACCGCUUGCUGUCAAAUCAACCGCGCAAUGCCUUGAUUAUCAUGCGAAUAGUUACCAUAUCUACCUGAGCACCCUCGAUUUUCACGGAUACGGCAAAGAGAUAAGUCAGAAAUGCCCUGACCCUCUUUGUCCUAUAAAUACUUCCUUCUUCGGCACUCUUCCUCCACCUUGUCAUUCUACAUUCAUCAAACCCAUCUUUUUGGCGGUGGCAAUGUUCGAGGAGCCCAAGAACUCCAGUGAGCCCCAGUAGUUCUUCAAAUCAUCGAUCCUCUUCUUCCUUGGGAAGAAAAUGGCCAUCAACUUCACCGUCCCUGAGGUCAACCCUCUUCAUCCUCUUUUUGUUGUCGUACUUUUAUCUUCCGCAAAUCUAUUUACUGAGUACAUUCUUUCUUUAUUUUCCCUUUUUCUAUUCUUCCAACCUUUAAACCUUUAGGAAUUGGCUGAUAAAAUUGUGAUUCCCACCGAUCAACCCCACUUUCAAUGUCUCGGGCCACUGGGUAACCUGGAUCCUAUCGAUCUAAUCAACGCAGAGACAAAUAGAAUCCCCUUUAGAGCUGAAAAUUUCUCCUUAGAUCUAUGGAAAGAUACCUUCUGAUCCUGGCCCAGUUCUACUAAGGGAUGGAAGGAUUGGUUCUUGAGAAUCGGCAACUCAAACGAAGUCCGGUGAACGUAAAUUAGACCAGUGCAUCUGGUUGUCUGCUGCCGAUAUGGAAAGAAAUGAAUCACUACUGAUAGCAGCCUCGUAUUUCUGGUCAGACACCCUUAAUGCUUUCGUGUUUGGUCACGGCCCUGCUUCUCCUACCCUUGCCGAUGUACUUAUGCUUACUGGUCUGGAGAUAGCAACUGCCGAUGAUACCCACCUGUUCGAUAGUAAGCCUGAACGUAAAGUAGAAACUCGCAAUAUUAGCGGCUGGUCAGGGUACAUCAAAAAGUACCAGAAAACAUGACCAAUUGGGUAAAGGGAGCACGCCAACUUUCUGAACAUGUGGCUAGAUAAAUUUGUCUUCUGUGGCCGAUCGGUAGGGCCAACUUCUGUUUAUCUAUCGGCAGCAGAGAAACUAGCCGGCGGUGGUUGCUUCCCUCUUGGCUGAUACAUGCUAGGCUCUGGGAAAUUCAACUUCUUUGAGAGUUUAUAAAAUAUAAGCAUUACCAUGAGCAGUCCGAUUUAUCCGAUAAGGUCCCAAUUAGGAGAACAUUUUCCUAACUUUGAACUUUUAAUCCCUAAUGGUAAAAUUAAUUUCCAUACCAAAUCUCCGUCGGCAAACUCCUUAGCUUUUACUUUUUUAUCAUACCAUCUAGCAACUCUCUUUUUAUUCUCUUCUAUACUCAUCAAAGCUCUCAACCGAUGUUCUGCCAAAUCAUCCAACUCAUCUUUCAUCAUAGUAGCAUAGUCAUCGGCAGCCAAUUGACCUUGAAAAGAGACCCGCCUAGACCCAGUCUUAAUCUCCCAUGGCAACACCGCAUCGUGCCCAUACACCAACUUAUAAGGUGAAACUUUAGUUGAUCCAUGGCACGCCAUCCGAUAUGACCACAAGGCUUCAUUCAAUAAUGUGUGCCAUCUUCUAGGAUUUUCUUCAAUCUUUCGCUUGAUAAGCUUAAUAAUCCCUUUGUUAAACGCUUCGGCUUGUCCAUUGGCUUGAGCAUAAUAAGGAGAAGAAUUCAAUAUUUUAAUCCCCAUACCGAUUGCAAAUUCAUCAAACUCUCCCGAUGUGAACAUAGUACCCUGAUCGGUAGUGAUUGUUUGAGGAAUACCAAAUCGGUAAACAAUGUGCUCUUUCACAAAAUCAAUCAUGUUAGGCGAUGUCGCUUCUUCAAAGGAACAGCUUCAACCCAUUUAAUAAAAUAGUCAGUGGCAACUAAGAUGAACUUAUGCCCCUUGCUUGAUGGCGGAUAAAUCUAGCCAAUUAGGUCAAAAGCCCAUCCCCGGAACGGCCAAGGCUUAAUAAUAGGAUUCAUGGCCGAUGCGGGUGCCCUUUGAAUAUUGCCAAACUUCUGACAUCCUUGACAUCCUUUGAAAUAUUUAAAGCAAUCCUCAAGUAUAGUCAGCCAAUAAUACCCAUUUCUCCUAAUCAUCCACUUCAUCUUAAAAGCCGACUGAUGUGCCCCACACACUCGUUCAUGGAUCUCGCCCAUCAAGCUUCUAGCCUCAUCAUCACCCAAGCAUUUGAGUAAAACUCCAUCUAUCGUUCGAUAAUAUAACUCUUCUCCAAGGAGUACAUACUUGGUAGCUUGAAACCUGACACGCCUCUCAACCUUUUUAGAUGGAUCUUUUAAGUAAUCAAUGAUUUCUUUUCUCCAAUCAUCGGCACUGAUUGCCGAUAACAUAUUUAAGAUGGGUUGAUAUCCCAAGGCGUGUUGAGCCGACCGAUUAGCCUCUUCAUUAUGUAAUCGAGGAACAUGCUCCAAUCGGAAAUCCUUGAAUUCCCUCAAUAGUUGUAUGCUCUUUUCAUAAUAGGUUAUCAAAACUUCACUUUGGCAUUCAUAAAUUACAGCCAAUUGAUUUAUAACAAGCAUAGAAUCGCCGAAGAUCUCAACAGCAUCGGCAUGAACCUCUUUUAACAAUUCCAGCCCUUUGAUCAGAGCUUGGUAUUCAGCUUGAUUCUUCGGGGACGUGGCAACAAUCGGCAAAGAGAACUCAUACUUCUUUCCUCGAGGAAAAAUUAGUACUAUACCGAUUCCUGCCCCCCGGUCACACGUGGAUCCAUCAAAGAAGAGCGUCCAAGGAAUGAUCUCCAAAGCCCCUACUACACCGCAAUGCUGAGUCACGAAAUCGGCCAUAAUCUACCCUUUAACUGCCUUAGCCGAUUCAUAGUGCAGAUCAAAUUCCGACAGCGCCAAAAUCCAUUUGCCGAUUCUACCGCUCAUAAUCUACAUAGAUAGCAUGUACCGGACUACAUCAUCUUUGCAUAUAACAGUGCAUUCGCCGAUAGCAAAUAGUGUCUCAACUUGAUACAUGAAAAGUAUAAGCAUAAGCAUAAUUUUUCAAUUGCCGAAUACCUUGUCCAGAAUCCACCAGUCUUCUACUUAAAUAAUAAAUCACACAUUCCUUCCCUUCAAAUUCUUGAAUUAGAGCCGAACCGAUGAGCAUUCCAUCGGUAGACAAAUAUAAUCUAAAAGGUUUUCCUUGCUGAGGUGGAAUUAGAAAUGGAGGGUUUGUUAAAUAAUUCUUGAUUUCGUCCAAUGCUGACUGUUGCUCUCUUCCCCAUACAAACUCUUGAUCGGCUUUCAACUUAAGUAAAGGACUACAAGCACGAAUCUUACCAGACAAAUUAGAUAUAAAUCGUCUGAUGAAAUUUAUCUUGCGGAUCAAUGACUGAAGCUAAGUUUUAUUGGUGGGAGCAACUAUCUUGUUAAUGGCAUCAAUAGAUCUCCUACUAAUUUCAAUCCCUUUCUGGUGCACCAUGAAACCAAGAAAUUGUCCUGCCGAUACACCAAAUGCACAUUUAUUAGGAUUCAUCUUUAAACCGUGUUUCCUUGUGCACUCCAACACCUUUCGUAGAUCAGCAAGAUGCUUUGUGAAAUCUCCAGACUUAACCACCACAUCAUCAAUAUAGAUUUCCACCAACUUGCUGAUAAACUCAUGGAAGAUAAAAUUCAUAGACCUCUAAUAAGUAGCACCAGCAUUUCUCAAGCCAAAGGUCAUGACUAUCCAUUCGAACAACCUAACAUGACCAGGAUAUCUGAAUGCGGUCUUUGGAAUAUCUUCUUCAGCCAUGAAUAUUUGAUUGUAUCCUGCAUUGCCAUCCAUAAAGAUAAUGAUCUGAUGUCCAGCUACAACAACAACCAGCAAAUCGGCAACAGGCAUUGGAUAACCAUCCAUCGGCAUGGCCUUGUUAAGAUUCCUGAAAUCAAUGCAGACACGAAGCUUUCCAUUCUUGUGUAAACUGGAACGACAUUGGAAAUCCACUCGGCAUACCGACAUUGCCGAAUAAAUUUAGCUUCAAUGAGUUUAGUUAUCUCGGCCUUAAUAUCAGGAAGAAUAUUAGGAUUGCAUUGACGAGCUGACUGCUGAUGCGGCCGAAAUCCAGAUUUGAUAGGUAACCGAUGUUCAACAAUCGAUCGGUCUAAACCAGGCAUCUCGGUAUAAUCCCAAGCAAAGCAAUCUUUAUAUUUCUUUAACAAAUCAGUUAAUUGUUGCUUACACUCAGAAUCUAACUUAGCACUAAUAAAAGUAGGCCUUGGUCUAUCACCAUCACCUAUAUCUACUACUAAAUCAUCGGCCGAUGUAAACCCCUGGCCCAACUUUCCAUCAUCGGCGAACCUAUCCAUUAAAUCUCCUCGUUAGAACCGACUGCUUGGUUCGGUGGAAUUUCAUAAUCAGCGACUUUGAGAAAAUCUUUCUCCCAAAUCUCUCCUGAAAUGCAUCUAGUCCUUUCAUAAGUAUCUGCUUCUGCUGAUGCAAUGACAUAUGAAGAAUCCCAUAGGACAAUUUCAAUUUUGUCACCUACCCACUGAACCAAGCAUUGGUGCAUUGUAGAUGGGAUGCAACAAUUGGCAUGAAUCCAAUCUCUGCCCAACAGUAAAUUAUAAGCACCCUUUCCACUGAUGACAAAGAAAGUUGUCGGCAAGGUCUUGCUACCGAUGGUCAACUCAACGCAUAUGGCUCCCUUGACUGGAGACACAUUUCCUUCAAAAUCCAUUAACAUCAUAUCGGUCUCCCCCUGUCGUCGCGUGGUGCUGAGUCGUUGUGCUUGUUGCUCGGUCACGCGGUGUCGCUGCCUUGUGGCCCACAUCCUGCCUUGCGCGAGUUGCUGGUCGCGCUGAAGCAGAGGGGCCGCGGUGGUUGAGCCCGCGCCUCUUCUUAGGCGGAGAGGCGUGGUGGUGAGGGCGUCUUGGGGCCUUCAACCGUGCUGGCAUAACGCGGACUUCUCCUGGUCCUUUGACUGAGAGCAAGAUCAUGUCGUAGCCGGAGCCCGUAGACAUGAACUCGAGACUCCCAAACCAAAUCACCGUGGAGCGCGGAAGCGGCGAGGCAGGAGUAGCCAUCCGGAAAGUGGUGGGAAAUCGGUGAAAAACACGCAGGACCCCUACCUGGCGCGCCAACUGUCGGUGUUUUUCCCCCGGGGGGUCACAGCAACGAGUAAAUUUGUAUGCGUGCUCCCCUUUCCGGAUGGUGAUGCAAGAAGACACAGAGAUUUAUCCUGGUUCGGGCAAGAGAAGGCCCUACGUCCAGCGGGGGGAGAGAGUUUGUAUUAUCUUGCACCUAAGUGCUUGUACAGGGGCGAAUACAAGCGUGGUGUGAAAUGUGUAGCUCUACUACGUGUGUGUGUUCUUGCGUUGUGAUCUCUCUCUUCUAUUCCUGAGUCCCUCCUUUUAUAGCUCCAAGGAGAGACACAGGGUACAUGCAUAGAUAUUAGAGUAGGGAUCGAUAGCCGCAUGGAGCGCUGACCUACUCGAGGCUUCCGUACGUCAUGGCCUCGAGCCGUCCCAUCUUGAUAGCUUGGUGAUGAUUACGCGUGCUCCUGCGUGCUGCCCUGCCAGCCGCCUUGUGCUGGUUCUGAGGUCGCAUGCUCGUAUGGUAUGGUGGCGGAUCCGGCGGAGCAGCUGUGGUGUUGUCAGUCGAUGUCCGACUUGUCCCUGGGAAGGGACCUCGUUCGGUCGAGGGUCGGGCGCCGCGUAAUAUGCUGAUAUCUGGAGCGCUGACCUUGGGUGUCUCGAGGAGGUCCCGAUUAGACGUUCCAUCCUUGUUUCCUGUGUCCUGACUCGCCCUGGGUCGUUCGGUGGGAAGGCUGCAAAAAGAACGAUGGGACAGAAGCUUGCUCCCUAUCACGCCUUCCGUGACCUGUGUGUUAGGUGGGGAAGCGUCAGGUGCAUUUAAUGCUUCGGCUCGCGUGCGCGCGUCGGGCGGCGGACAGUGUCCUCGCGCCCGACACCUCUCGGUUCACUCGAGCCCGCUUCCGUCAUCGAUGGCAGCCGUCGCUCGAGUCCUGAACCGAUUCGCUCGAGACUAUUUCCGUCUUCGAGGCUGCGACCGUCGAUGGCGGCGCACACGUAAGAUCGGAGCGUCGAAUUAAGGGUCUCGACCUUCAUACGGGCAAUCUCAUAAUGCGUAUUGCUGAGGGUACCCCUUACCGAUACCCUCGACAGUAGCCCCCGAGCCUCCAUUUGAGCGCUAGCGCUCGAAUGGAGGUUUUGAUUUACGGUCGAAUUUUCGUGGGGGCGCGCGAGCGACCCCGCGGGGUAGCCCCCGAGCCCUCGGAGGAGUCUUUGACUCCUUCGAGGGUUAUGUUAUCUAAUUCGCAGAAACGCUUUCGACACCAGUGGUGGAAGGUUCUGACUGGCUCGUUUUUGCCCGGGGGUUUCGACGUACUCUUGAUAGAGCGAGCGUCUUCCAUCCCGAAUUGAGUUCCUAGCGGGCAGUCCAAGUGAGAACCUGUGCCCCUUUCGAGGGGGUCAGCUGUAUCCCGGAGGCGUCCUCAUAAAGCAGGGUCGACGUGGUCGGGGAUACUGGUCUCAUUCGAUAGAGUCCAGCGGCUCGAUGCCUCCCUUCGGGGGGAUUCCUCUCGACUGUCUCGACCCUACCUUGAACAUCACCAGCGAGUCCUCGAGGCGGGCCUCGAUCUUCGACCGCUCGCUGGUAUCCUUGACUCUGGCGCUCGAGAUCGGCUGUCGAACCCUUUCGGCGGGCCAGCCAUCGACCUCUCGAGACUUUUGCGGUUAUGUCCCUUGGCUUACGAGGGAAGGAAACGGUCGUGGCGAUUCGCCUUUCUGCCCGUUGGGCGCGUCUUUUUAGGCGGAUGACGUUGCGACACCGUAUCGGCGAGGAAUUCGGAGAGUCCGGCCUGUGAGGAGAGAGAGAAAGAGCUGUCAGGCGGCGCAUUUAUGGGGGGAGUUACCUUACUUCUCGGAUCUGUCCGUUGGCGGACAGUUGCCUAUAAAUAUGCCGUCGCGUCACCGCCGUUCCUCUCCCUUCCGCCUUCUCGCUCUCGUUCCUUUGCUGCCUUUGCUUUCUCGUCAUCUCACGCGCACACGCCCCCUCGACCCGUAGCGAACCCACCGCCCCGUUAGCCGAGAUGCCUGUAAGACUCGUCGCCGCCGAUGACUGGCGCCCGUCGUCGAUGACGGAGCGCCGGCUGUUGGAGCUCGAGAAGGAGGGACUGCUGCGCCGCCGCACCUCGCUGUCGUCGCCAGAGUGGAUCGCGCCGCCAGCGAGCCACAGGGCGCCUCAGCCCCCCGAGGGCUACGUGGUGUCGUUCGCCAAGUUUCACCGCCACGGUCUGGGCGCGCCUCCAAGCCGCUUCAUGCGGGCCCUCUGCUUCCAUUAUGGGGUGGAGCUGCAGCACUUUUCUCCGAACGCCAUCACCGUGGCGGCGGUCUUUGCCGCCGUGUGUGAGGGCUUCCUAGGGACUCUUUCAUUUUUAUUUGGUGAUAACCAGAAUAAGCAUCAAGGAAAGAAAGAGUUUCACAUCCCGCGGUAGAAUCGACAAUCUGAUCAAUGCGUGGUAACGGAAAAGGAACUUUCGGACAUGCUUUAUUCAAACUAGUAUAAUCGACACACAUCCUCAUUUUCCCAUUCUUUUUCUUAACUAAUACAGGGUUCGCUAACCAGUCAGGAUGAUGAACCUCCUUGAUGAAUCCGGCCGUCAAAAGCUUGUGGACUUCCUCGCCAAUGAUCUUGCGCUUUUCCUCGUCGAAUCGGCGCAACCGCUGCUUCACUGGCUUGGAACCGGCUCGAAUCUCCAAGGAGUGCUCGGCGACUUCCCUCGGUAUGCCCGGCAUAUCCGAGGGACUCCAUGCAAACAUAUCAGCAUUCGCACGGAGAAAGUCGACGAGCACGGCUUCCUAUUUGGGGUCGAGGUCGGUGUUGAUUGUCAGCACCUUGCCGUCGGAGUUGUUGGGGUCGAGCGGGAUCUUCUUAGUUCCUUCCGCCGCCUCGAAGCUGCCCGCAUGACGUUUAGGUUCUGGAGCCUCAGCGGCCAUGGCUUCGAGCUUCGCAACGAGCUCGGUGGAGCUCUCGACCGCCUCCCCGUACUCGACGCACUCGACGUCGCACUCGUACGCGUGCUCGAAGGAAGAACUAAUGGUGAUGACGCCUUUGGGACCAGGCAUCUUCAGCUUCAAGUAUGUGUAGUUGGGUAUAGCCAUGAACUUGGCGUAGCCCGGGCGUCCGAUGAUGGCGUGGUACGUGCCUCGGAACCCAACCACCUCAAAGGUGAGGGUCUCCUUCCUGAAGUUGGCCGUCGUGCCGAAGCAGACCGGUAGGUCGAUUCGACCUACUGGCAGUGCCUUUUUCCCUGGUACGACGCCAUGGAAGCCGCCGGCGCUUGGCUGGAGGCGUCCUCUAUCGAUGCCGAGGAGAUCGAGGGUCUCGAGGUAGAUGAUGUUGAGGCUGCUGCCGCCGUCCAUCAGCACUUUCGAGAGUCGGGUGUUGACGAUGAUGGGGUCGACGACGAGCGGGUAGACGCCUGGGGCGACCACCUUGUCGGGGUGAUCUUCUCGGUCGAAGGUGAUGGGAGUGCUUGACCAGCUAAGAUACUGGGGCACCACCAUCCUUGCUGCAAAGACUUCGCGAUGCUCCCUCUUGCGCUGCCUCGCGGUCAACUGAGUCGAAGGCCCGCCAUAGAUCAUGUAGCAGUCGUGGACGGCGGGGAAGCCGUCGUCAUCUUUGUUGUCCUCCUUGCCGCCAGCCUUCUCCUUCUUGGAGUCAUCACGUGCAUCUUUUUUGAGCCCCUGACCGUCGAAAUGCUUUCUCAGCAUGCGACAAUCCUUGAGUUUGUGGUUAGCGCCUCCCUUAUGGUAAGGGCACGGCUCCUCCAACAUCUUGUCGAAGAUGCCUCCCUCCGGAGGGCCUCGCGGCUUCUUUCGAUCCAUCGUGGCGACGAGGUCGUCACCCGAAUCUCCCUGGUGGAACUGCCGCACUUUCUGCUUCUUUUUAUUUUUCUUGAGGCCUCGACCGGAAGUCCCAUCUUCAUCGACGGGCUGCUUGCCUUUUCUUCCUUCUGAGCUGAAGAAGGCGCCGACUGCCUCCUCCCCUGCCGCGUAGUUAGCCACUACGUCCAUCAGCUCGUCGACGGUUUGAGGUCGAUUGCGGCCUAAUUCCCGCACCAAGUCUCGACUGGUGGUGCCCGAGACAAACGCCAAGAUGACGUCGUGGUCGGGGAUGUGUGGCAACUCAGUGCGCUGCUUCGAGAAGCGUCGAGCGUACUCCCGAAGAGUCUCUCCUGACUUCUGCUUGCAUUUGCUGAGGUCCCACGAGUUCCCUGGCCGUAUAUAGGUCCCCUUGAAAUUACCCUCGAAGACUCUGACCAGGUCAACCCAGUUAUGAAUCUGAUUGGCUGGGAGUUCCUCGAGCCAUCGACGGGCGGUGUCGGAGAGGAAAAGGGGUAGCUGUCUGAUGAUGGCUCGAUCAUCCCCCCGAGCGCCACCUAGCUGACAAGCCAGCCUGAAAUCGGCCAGCCAUAGUUCUGGCUUGGUUUCUCCAUUGUACUUCGCGAUGCUGGUUGGGGGUCGGAAUGGACUAGGCAGGGGCGUGCUGCGAAUCGCCCUGCUGAACACCCGCGGGCCUGGUGGCUCGGGGGCCACCCGGUCCUCAUCGCUGUCGUACCUCCCGCCGCGAUGCGCGCUAUAACCACGUUCUUCCGCGUCUCCGUGCCGGCGGCGUCUAUUUUCUUUAACGUCGUGUCGCGCGUCGUGUCGACGUUGGUUGUCAGCAGGGAGGAUGAGAGCGGUCUUUCUACCUCGAGGGGGAGGUUGUUGCUGGACAGACACCUCCUCUUCGAUUAGAGGCUGUUCGCCGCGCUUCUCUGUGGCAGCUCCUCGUCGUCGAGAUGCCGAACUUUCGGCUUGUUGAACUGCUGCCACCUGGAGCAGUGUCUGAACUUCAUCUCGAAUUCGUCGGGCCUGGGAAUUUGAUGGCUCUGGCAUGUUACGUAGCAGCAUCGUCGCUGCUACUACAUUCUGUCCUGCUCGAGGGAAACGGCCGACAGGUUGCUCCGCCUCUGUGUCACCGACGAUCUGUCGAUGUACCUCUCGAGCGCGUCUGCGGACACUUCCGCCCGGCGGGUAGGGCAGGUCUUGUUCGAGGAUUUGCUCGAGCAGGACGAGGCGCUCGCGAUCUUCGUCGAGCUUCAUCUUGAGCUCCCGCAGCUGCGCGAGCUGCGCAGUUCUAUCUUCCUGAGGAAGAGGGUCGAGCCGUCCGUCAUUCCCAGGCGUCCUGGGGUCUUCUUGCGUCGCGGGGGCUCGACCACCCGCAGCAGCAUCCCGUGUUUCGUCGGUGGUUUCCGCCGCCCCGUCGAGGUGAUAGCAUUCCCUCGUAGGGUCGUAGCUGUCUGUCUCGGAGUCGGAGUCUGGUUCGGCAGUGUGGGAACACUCACGUCCUUCCUCCGACCAUCGUUGCCCGAGGGAGGUGAUCGAGUAUCGCCCGGGGCCUAGACGGCGGAGGCCUCGUACUCGGGAAAGGUCCGGCAGUUCGGACGUCGGCCGCUGCUCUUCAGAGCUACGUGGGAUGACCAUUGGUCUUUCCACGUGCGUCUGAGCAUUUGGGCGUAUCGUCUUGGCGAGCGACGCCGCGGCGUUGUCCAACCCGAACGGCAGUGCCGCCCUUGGAGAGAACAACCCGUGUGGAAGUAGCUUAGCUGCGGUGGGGGAGGGCGCGCGAGACGCGUCUCCCCCUGUCGUCGCGUGGUGCUGAGUCGUUGUGCUUGUUGCUCGGUCACGCGGUGUCGCUGCCUUGUGGCCCACAUCCUGCCUUGCGCGAGUUGCUGGUCGCGCUGAAGCAGAGGGGCCGCGGUGGUUGAGCCCGCGCCUCUUCUUAGGCGGAGAGGCGUGGUGGUGAGGGCGUCUUGGGGCCUUCAACCGUGCUGGCAUAACGCGGACUUCUCCUGGUCCUUUGACUGAGAGCAAGAUCAUGUCGUAGCCGGAGCCCGUAGACAUGAACUCGAGACUCCCAAACCAAAUCACCGUGGAGCGCGGAAGCGGCGAGGCAGGAGUAGCCAUCCGGAAAGUGGUGGGAAAUCGGUGAAAAACACGCAGGACCCCUACCUGGCGCGCCAACUGUCGGUGUUUUUCCCCCGGGGGGUCACAGCAACGAGUAAAUUUGUAUGCGUGCUCCCCUUUCCGGAUGGUGAUGCAAGAAGACACAGAGAUUUAUCCUGGUUCGGGCAAGAGAAGGCCCUACGUCCAGCGGGGGGAGAGAGUUUGUAUUAUCUUGCACCUAAGUGCUUGUACAGGGGCGAAUACAAGCGUGGUGUGAAAUGUGUAGCUCUACUACGUGUGUGUGUUCUUGCGUUGUGAUCUCUCUCUUCUAUUCCUGAGUCCCUCCUUUUAUAGCUCCAAGGAGAGACACAGGGUACAUGCAUAGAUAUUAGAGUAGGGAUCGAUAGCCGCAUGGAGCGCUGACCUACUCGAGGCUUCCGUACGUCAUGGCCUCGAGCCGUCCCAUCUUGAUAGCUUGGUGAUGAUUACGCGUGCUCCUGCGUGCUGCCCUGCCAGCCGCCUUGUGCUGGUUCUGAGGUCGCAUGCUCGUAUGGUAUGGUGGCGGAUCCGGCGGAGCAGCUGUGGUGUUGUCAGUCGAUGUCCGACUUGUCCCUGGGAAGGGACCUCGUUCGGUCGAGGGUCGGGCGCCGCGUAAUAUGCUGAUAUCUGGAGCGCUGACCUUGGGUGUCUCGAGGAGGUCCCGAUUAGACGUUCCAUCCUUGUUUCCUGUGUCCUGACUCGCCCUGGGUCGUUCGGUGGGAAGGCUGCAAAAAGAACGAUGGGACAGAAGCUUGCUCCCUAUCACGCCUUCCGUGACCUGUGUGUUAGGUGGGGAAGCGUCAGGUGCAUUUAAUGCUUCGGCUCGCGUGCGCGCGUCGGGCGGCGGACAGUGUCCUCGCGCCCGACACCUCUCGGUUCGCUCGAGCCCGCUUCCGUCAUCGAUGGCAGCCGUCGCUCGAGUCCUGAACCGAUUCGCUCGAGACUAUUUCCGUCUUCGAGGCUGCGACCGUCGAUGGCGGCGCACACGUAAGAUCGGAGCGUCGAAUUAAGGGUCUCGACCUUCAUACGGGCAAUCUCAUAAUGCGUAUUGCUGAGGGUACCCCUUACCGAUACCCUCGACAGCAGGAUUCUCUCCUCUACUAAGUUCUUCUUGUCGCUCCCGCUGCAGCCUUCUUUUCUGUGUCCUUGUCAACCCUUCUAGACACCAUAGGGGAAGUUGUGUCUGCCUCAUCGAUUGGCAACGAUUUUCCCUUGAUUCCACCUGAUAAGUAUUUGCAUCCCUAUAGAAUAUGAACUCGUCGGGAACUCGUGCAUCCGCCAUCUCCUCAAGCUCCUCUUGGUUUCUUGGAAAAUAGCCAAUACGCUCACCAAGCCUAUCGUGCACACUAAGCCUGCCCCCAGUUGAUCAUGAACUAAUGUCCUUCCUCUAAUCGGCCCACCAAAACGCCGAUCAUUGUUUUGAUACUGCCGAUUUGGUCUAUCAUAACGAUUAUAGCCAUUGCACUCAGGACAGUCUCUAACAGUUGGCUGCUUGAUGUUUUGUUCCCAACAGUGGAUAAAGAACGGGCAAUUCCAAUGAUCUUUAUGCCGAUUCCACUCUUGUCGGCGUCGUUCUUCUUCCCUGCAACGAUCUUCCUGUUGGCGACAAUACCGAUCUUCACGCUGCUGCCAGGUUUCCCGAUGCCUCCUAUGAGUGAUUAUAAUGCCAGAUCAGGGAGGUUUUCCUGAGCUGGUUCCUUCCAGGAUCAAGCCCUUGCCUUUGGCGUCAUCGACAGUAAUCUGAUGCUGAGGAUCUAUCGAUGCACUUCUUUCAGCUGCUUCUAAUGUCAAGACUUUGGUCUUUCCCUUAGCAUCCAAUAUAUUUGUCGGGAAAGAAUGUUGGUCGAUCUUCAUCGGCUUUUGAGCUUUGGAGCUAUUGAACUUAAUUCUCCCAGACUCUAUAGCCGAUUGCAGCUGUUGCCUGAAUACUUUACACUCAUUUGUACUAUGAGAUGUUGCACAUGCCACUUGCAAUACUUGAUUUUUUUAACUCUUCUACCCAUGGAAUUACAUGGUUAGGUGAGAAUUUAAUUUGUCCUUCCUAAAGCAGAAAGUCAAAUAUCCUAUCAGCUUUGGUGAUAUCAAAUGCAAACUUUUCUCGCUCCUUAUGACCAAAAGGACAAGACAUCGGCUUCUUAUUUUUUACCCACUCUGCCAAGUCGAUGACUGGUUCUUCAUCAGAAUCUGAGCUUGUUGCCUCAUCGAGAAAUGACAUCUUUUUGUUCCAUGCUCUCUUAGGUUCAAAAGCUUUGAUGUCUUGAUCAGAGAUUCUUUGAACUAGAUGACUCAGACUUUCAAAUUCUUGAGAAGCAUACAUGUCUUUAAUGUGUGGCAACAAUCCUUGGAAAGCCAAAUCGGCUAGCUGCCGAUCAUCCAGGACCAGACUAUAGCAUUUGUUCUUAACAUCUUGCAAGCUUUGCACAAAACUUUCAACCGAUUCAUCAUUGUGCUGCCUUAGCCUGACUAAAUCGGUAAUCUUCUUCUCAUGUACUCCAGAAAAGAAGUAUUUAUGGAAUUGCUUCUCUAGAUCAACCCAAGUAGUCACUGAGUUUGAAGGUAAUGAAAUAAACCAAGUAAAGGCCGAUCCAGACAAAGAUGAUGCGAAUAAACAAACCCUUAACUCAUAUCUAUUAGCAGCUUCCCCACAAUGGAUGAUGAACCUGUAACAUGUUCUAUGGUUGACGUGUCAUCCUGUGCAGAAAACUUGGUGAAAUCCGGCACUUUGUACCGAUUUGGAAGUGGAAUUAAGUCAUAAGGAGGAGAAUACGGUGUCCGAUAAGAAUAAGUAUUGACUUUGGGUUUUAUCCCAAACUGAUCUCUCAUCACUUCAGCUAUCUUAUCGGCACAAUAGGCAUCGGCAUCCUGCCGAUGAGCGGGUUGUGGAUCUGGCAUCUGCUGAUAAGCUUCCACGUGUCUCUGCGGUGCACGAUCUCCAGGGAACAUGGGAUUAGCCACCGCCUGUUGACCACCAACUUGUUGAGCAAGAUUCAUCGGCUGAUUAAUCAAUCCUUGAUUCUGAAAACCAGGUUGCACUGGUCCCUGUUGAAAUCCCAUAGCCUGAUGAUUCUGCUGAGGCAUCUGUGGAAAGACAAACUGCCCUGUCCAUCCAUUGUUAACAUUCAUUAGCGUAGGUCCUGCCGAUGACUGGUAAUUGAGCAUCAUCAUUGAAUUGACAUACCCUGGCUGUGUCAUAAACCUUUGAUGUGUCGGCGUUGGAUCUGCCAGUGCGUUAGGCAUCUGGAAUGUCGGUAACUGAGAAUUUCCAGGGAAUGUCGGUAUCUGAGAAUUUCCAGGGAAUGUCGGCAUGUUAGAAUUCCCAGCAAAAGGUCUUGCAGUGGUAGUUGUAGAAUACUGGGGAUUCUGAGUCAUCGGCGAUACUGGGGGUGCCGAUGCCAUAGGAGCCUUGCCUGUCAUAUCAGCCACUUAAGACAUCCCAGAACUAUUUGCCAUAAAUUCUGGGGGCAUACCAUAUCCCCACCAAUUGGGAGGAACUUGAGAGCCUUUAAGCAUAGACCCUGACAUUGCCGAUGCUAAUAGAUCUGUAGCAAGUUGGGCUUGCCCCUCUGUUGUUGCUGGGUUAGUUCUCAUCGGUGUAGACUGCCCAUUAGUCAUCUCUAAUGUGCUUGGGGGAGAAGUAGCUUCCGUACCCGCAACGGCCGUAGUAGCCGAUGGAGCCGUAAUCGAUGAUGAUCCUGGCUGAUGAUGGGCUGGGCCCACAUAAGCUGGUGGUACUUGUCCUUCUUUGAAAGUUCUAGCCACAGCAUUGAAAACUAUAUUGGACAGCACACUAGAUUGAUUGAUUAGAGCACGAUUGAUAGCGUUGUCAACCAUCUCUUGCAAUUUACCAGGAUUGGCUUCUAAAGUGAUUUGCCGAGGCUUCGGCAAUGCUUCCUUCUAGAUUACUUCGCUGCUCCUGUUGAUACUGAAGGAUUUCAAAUAUAGCUGCUUGUAGUCCUCCAUAGCUUUUGCCAUAGCUUGCUUCUGUUCAUCUCUAAGAUUGGCUUCCGUCACGGGGAUAACGUUCUCCAAGUUAAAAUCAGUGUUCGACAUGUUGAUCUUGAUGAUGAAUCUGAAUCUGUCCCACUGGGUGUGCCAAAAGAUGUGUUGGUGCAAAAGUAGAUCUGCAAACACAAAGGGCUAAUACCCGAUUCAACGUUAAGACGUGCCAGCCAAUUUGACCUUACAAUCGACAAAGGUGAUAACUUGAAUACUUUUGUCCCGACAACAGCGAUGCGCCCGGAUGUUACAGCCAAGAGGUAUUCACGCGGAACUCGAGAACUCACCGAGAUUGACUCGAUGAAUCCUUAAGAACUCGUAAGUAAAAAGAAAAUAUGCAAGGUGACGAAGUCGUCGAAAAGUAGAUGCUGGAAUAGAUGUAAAAACUAGUGUUUGAUUUAUUGUGUAGAUCUAUUACAUCGCUACGGGGUCUACAUUUAUACCCUAUCCAAAAGAGUUACAAUCAGACACGACUAGGACUCAAAUUCCAAAUUGAACGGAAUUUGUAUGGAAAGCAAACUCUAAUAACUAUGGAAAACAUUAAUUUAUCCACCACAACCGAUCGGCACACCAUCACCAUCCGAUCAACAAUUCCUGCGCCUCCUUUUGUGUCCAUAGGCAAAUCACCUUUCGUAGCCAUCGACAACCAUCAGCAUCAGUCAUCGGCAUAAAUCCUUCACCACUCGUGGACUUGGCCACAUUUUGUUGUUUCAUCAUCGGUAUCAACGCUCAUCGGAAACUCUUCUGUCAACCAGUCACCACUUUACUUGCUUGCCGAUCUACGCCUCAUUAACUUCCAGAUACGCGUCCAAAGAUACGUGUCUAAAAACGGUGUCAACAAAAAGAGAGUAGAAAAUUUUGUUGCCGAUCAUUUAUCUAGAAUGCAAUAUGAGAAUCCACAGGAACUACCCAUUGAUGACUCACUCCGAGACGACAUGCUCUAUAGAAUCAAUAGAUCUGACCCCUGGUAUACAGAUAUUGUUAAUUUAAUGGUUACAGGUUAUGUACCACGAGGAGGCAACAAAAGGAAGCUAAUUCACGAGAGUCGUUCUCACAUAUGGGAUGCACCAUACCUCUUUCGAGUAUGCUCUGAUGGCUUACUCAGAAGGUGUGUGCUAGCUAAACAAGGAAUCAAAAUCAUUGAAAGAUGACAUUCAUCUCCAUAUGGAGGGCAUUAUGGGGUGUUCUGAACACAUGCAAAGAUAUGGCAAUGUGGAUUCUUCUGGCCAACAAUGUAUGGAGACACAAGAGAAUUUAUUCGGAGAUGUGGCCCAUGUCAAAGACAUGGUAAUAUCAAUUCAUGGGAUACCAUGCCACUCAUCAACAAUCUCCAGAUAGAGCUCUUUGAUGUCUCGGGGAUUGACUACAUGGGGCCAUUUCUGCCAUCAAAGAAGUAUGAGUAUAUCCUAGUGGCAGUAGAUUAUGUCUCCAAGUGUGUUGAAGCCAUGCCAUGCAGGAAUGCUGAUUGUAUGCAUUCAAAGAACAUGUUCGAAGAAACAAUAUUUCCAAGAUUCAGAUUCCAAGGAUAGUGAUAAGUGACGGAGGUUCUCACUUCAUCGACAAGCGCUUCGAGCAAUACUUGUCGAAGCAUGGGAUACGUCACAACGUUGCUACUCCUGACCAUCCUCAGACAAGUGGUAGGGUAGAGACAUCAAACAAGCAAAUUAAGAAUAUUUUAUAGAAGAUAGUAAAUGAGAUGGGGAUAGCUUGGAAGGACAAGCUUCAUGAUGCACUCUAGGCAUACCGCAUUGCAUAUAAGACACCCAUCGGGAUGUCACCCUAUCAGCUUGUCUAUGGAAAAACUUGUCACUUACCAGUGGAGCUAGAAUUCAAAGCUCACUGGGCUAUCAAAAGAUGGAACAUGGACAUGGAAACAGCUAGAGACAAGAGGAAGAUGCAACUCUCUGAGCUAGAAGAAUGGAGAGAAAAAGCAUAUCACAAUACCAAGGUUUAUAAAUAGAGAGUAAAAAGAUGGCAUGAUAAAAGGAUCAAGAAGAAGGAGUUCACCCCAGGCGAUAAGGUAUUACUUUUUAAUUCUAGGGUGAAGCUCUUUGGGCAUGGAAAACAUCGAAGCAAAUGGGAAGGACCAUUCGAGGUGGUGAGCUCAUCGUCCAAUGGAGCCGUCACGCUUCGCAACAACGAUGGUAUGUUAUUCAAGGUAAACGGUCAAUGCCUUAAAUUAUUUUAAGAGCUUAACAAUGAAUUAGAGGAAGUAGACGUAAUUACUUUCUUUCUCAAUUAAAAUAUUUAGGCCUGACCUUUUUAUUUUUGAAUUAUCAGAGAAAAUCAACUUUUCCGAUUAAGAAUAUAAUUAAUAAAGUGUACGAAAAAGUUGAGACAGAGGGGGCUCGAAGGUUGGGCAGCCGCCCAAAACCCUAGGGGCGCCCAGCCCUCCCCCAAGGCCUUUCACCGCCGCCUUUCUCCAUUUACAUCCUGAGACCUUCCUUAUUGAUAAAAAGUGAAUCUUUCGAUUUUCUUCCCAUCCUUUGCUAUUUCACCUUCCAAAAAUACUUUUCCAGACCCCUAUAUAAGCAACCCAUGCCUAUGGUCUCGUCUCAUCCCAUCAUAGCUUUUCUCUCCUCUUGCUUAGCAGCUAGCAACCCCCCUCUACUCAACAAUGUCUAAGAAAAAUUUAGAGAGGAGAAUGAUCCCCUUUGGGAUUGAUCUCAACACCAUCCCUAAAAAAUGGACUGAGAGCAAAGCUAUCAUUCCCAUAGAUGAGCCUGUCCCGCUAGCCAUCAUACCACCACAACCACGCUGCUAUGGGCAAUCUUAUUUUGCUGAGCCCAUUCACACCAAGCCUCUCCUCUUGUAAGGAGAUCCAUCAAAGGGCCCCAUCAUUGCUCUGUUGGCAAGGACUAAUAUCCUGCCACUGAAGUGCAACGAGAAGCUGUUAGGAGUGAAGACCAACAAGAAUGGGGAGGUCGUCUGCGCCGAAUACACCACCGGUGAUCAUACCUACUUGGAGGGGGGGGGUUCACGCUCAUCCAUCAAAGGUCAAAUUCAUCCCCCCCAAAGGAAGCUCCAAAAUCCGCCAUGGCCGCAGCCAAGACUCCACGGAAACGCCACAAGGCGAUGGUAGACUUAGAGAAGGAGCUAGCUGAGUAGCGCACAAUAAUAGCCUCUCUAGAAGCCUGUCAGCAUGGCCAAAGUAGAUGCAUCACUUACGGUGACACAAGAGUGUUAAAGCUAGAGUAUGAUUCCACUACUCUAAAGGAGAGGGUGAAAGACCUAGAGCACCCUAGGAAGUAGGGUCAUUUUAUCUUAGCAUCCGAUAGGGCGAGUGUUAGUUUUAUUUAAAGUGUGUUUUUAUAAGUUUGCUGCUGUAAUAAUAAGCCCUGCAUGAAGAUGAAUAAAUAAAUAUUAUUAUAUGCCUUGUCUCUCUAUUGCCUCUCUUUUGUCUCCACCAUUUUGUGAAUGAAGGAUAACAGGAAACCAGUGUGGGGGAGACAUCCGGCGAUCAAAACAAACGAAUUCUCACGAAACAAUAACAAAAUUGGAGAAGACAAGACACGAAGACCACACUCGACAAAGCUGACCCCGAAGGGCCACUGACCAGGGGUGACCGCCCCACUCAUCCUUGGGCACCUGCCCAAGGGGUGAAGCCCCCUGGUCUCCGCUUCAAACCACGGUCAGGUAUGAUUUCUCUGUGUUAUAAAUUGUUAUUAUUGCUGCUGUUUCGAUUCGAAGUAAAAUAUCUUUAGUUAAAUCAUCCUAUGCAUAAAUAUUUAAAAGAUGUUUUAUUCAUGAUCACAAGAUAGACUUACACCAUGAUAAUUCCUAGAAAUUCCUGCUGCUGUUGGGAACUUUAAUAUAGGAACCCCAUAUUACUUAAGUUGUUGUGGAAAGAGAGAUAGUAUGAAUAUGGGAACCUGAUUUUUGAUGCCUAGUCAUUUGGAGAACUUUACUUUUCAAAAAACUUAAAAUGAUUAGCUAUACUUCUCCUAUGUAGCAAGAAUUAAUGUCCUACUAGAGCCAUGCAUGAUAGAUAUAAACUAGCUCAUAAGCUACUUGCUUUGUAUUGAGUUUUGUCAAACCUUAUUGACCUAUGUCGAGAGGAUUAUCAUGCUCCUAAGAUCAAGAUCACGUACACCCACAUAUAUCUACCAUUCCUACAGUAGGAAUACGCACAAACAUGCCUUUUCAUCCACAAUGUUUUACUCCUACACCGGGAGGAAACACAAAAAGAGUCUUAGUAGGAAUAAUUGCUCUAAGUUCGUUAAAAAGUCUUUCUCAAUAUUUUUUGGUUACAGAAGGAGGUAUGAGGCUAUGCCAAAAAAGUAUUAAAAAAGAAAAAAAGAAAGAAGAGAAAAAAGGACAAGUGUCCUAGAAAGAAAGAAGAAUAAAAGAUAGCCCAUACCAUCGUGUACAAAGACCAUGAGUGCUUUAGAGAAAGAAAGACAUUUUUGAAAAGAGCAAUGUAGAAUUAGGAUUAGCCACUAUAUAUUCCACACCCAUGCACUUCUUGAUCUAAGAGUAUGCUAUUUCCCUCCAUAGAUCUGAGUUUUGACUUAGCAAAAUAUGCAAGGUAAGUAUGCUAUUUCCUUGAAUUACCUUUAACUCCAUAUAAGCCUAUAUAGAGUAGGAUAUAUAUAUAUGAUAUCACUACAAGAAAUACAUGGCUUUUUAACGUUUUUAGUAUGACAAUUGUAAGAAUGUUACUAUAUCAUCCAUUUUGUGACAUUAUAUUUUAGACAUAGUGGCUUAGUGACAAUUAAAAGUUGUAUGUCACAAUAAAUGUCAUUUAACAAGUCUGAUUUCAUCUAAUGACAAUAUUUUCUAUGUCACAAGGCCUCCUUGUGUGUCACAAAUUAUUUUAUUAUUUUUUAAAAAAAAACAUUCCAUGUUGACAAGGUCUUUUGCCACGUCAACAUAUGUUUUUCCCUUUUUUCUAUUUUUUAUUUUAUUAUAUCAGAUCAUAUUUUUUUAUAUAAAUAAUGAUAUGUCACAUGUUUGAUAAUUUUGGUCAUGUAUCAUAUAUAUGUAAAUUUUUUUGAUCAAGUGUAUGUCAUGAUUUGUUGCAGAUGAUAGAUCUUGGAUUAAGAAUAGGAUGUUCAACAGGGAACAUAUUGAGAGGGUUGAAGAAUUCAUGAUCUUUGUUUCCCAGAGAUUAAGUGAUAAUGACAAGGUUGGAUGCAAAGUUUAUUAUCUAAUGUAUAUAAAAAGUCAAAAUUAAAGAAAUAUAUAAAAAAGUCAAAAUUGGCCCACCUAUCAUAAAAAUGUCUUAAUGCUAGGCCUUGUUUAGUUCUAAAAUUUUUUAGAAAAUCGACACUGUAGCACUUUCGUUUGUGUUUAACAAAUAUUGUCUAAUUAUGGACUAACUAGGCUCAAAAAAUUCAUUUUGUUAAUUUCGACCAAACUGUGUAAUUAGUUUUUAUUUUUCAUCUAUAUUUAAUACUCCAUACAUGUGUCUAAAGCUUCGAUGUGACGAACGAAUCUAAAAAUUUUUCCAAAAUUUUUUGGAAAUGGGCUCUCACGGACCCGAAAUAUUUAUCCAUUGUAGUUAACUUGGGUCAACGCGGCGCAUGCCUCACAUCUCUCCUCUCUCUCUCAGAUAUUCCUCUGCUCACUCCGAUCUCUCCGCCUGACCUCCUCUCUAUCUCUCCGCUCCUCCCCAAAUACAUUCGGCACCCUCCACUUCGGCGCGGGCACGAGGUCGCCGUAGUCACUAGCGACUGACCUGGACGCCGGCACGGCGCGAGCAUGAGGCCGCCGAGGGCACCGACGACCGUCCGGGACCCCGGUGUGGCACAGGCAUGAGGUCACCGCGAGGACCGGCGACCGGUCCGGACUCCAGCGAGCAGUCAGGACACCAACGUGUGUUCGAGCGUGAGUUCCCUUAAGGUGAGUCACAACUCCUCAUUCUUUCUGCUCCGCCUGGAUCUGCAGUUGAAGGGGGUCGGCCUGGAUCUGCAGCGCCUCGGAUACUCGCUGGUGCAGGCACGAGGCCACCGCGGGCUUGGGAGAUCCACGACCCGAGGCUCACGGGGAAGCGCCACUGGCUAGGCACCGCCGCCGCCGCCGCCGUGGUUUGGGGAUGGAGGCAGCCCGCCGAAGCGAGGCACGAAGGUUGUUUCUUUCCUCUUUUUUCAUUCCUGUACUAGAUCUGCGGUUUAAUUUUUGGUAAAUACUUCAAUGUUUCUUUUUGGUAAAUACUUCAAUGCGGAUUUUUACCUCUAGGCUUUUAUUUUGGGGGAAUACCCUCUAUAGGUGCAUUAUGGACGACCCAAUGUGGAUUCUCACUGAACUCACUUAGAAAAUCCCUAGGAUGGGACUGCAAUCUCCUGCAUAUCGUGGACAUUCUUAAAUUGAGUUCCUAUUUUAUUUUAAUAUUUUCAACAUUGAGGAAUACAACUAGAUAACUCAGUAUCAGGUUGCACACCCAGUGUCUAUGUGGGACUGAUGAACUGACAAUUGUGAUCACACAGUACAAGAAAUGCCAAACCAUUCGUCUACCAAUUUAAAGGAUGUAGUUACAGCAAACUAACUGAUGAAAGUCUAUGCCCAUAGUUUUUCUCGACCAGAUUUCUAUCAACCAGCAACCUCUGGUGUAUACCUUUCUUUGGCACUAAUCUCAAGAGCUGUUAAAUAUGUGGACCAUGAGCUGCGUGUGCUUUUCCUUUAUGUUACCCUAGUACUGCAGCCAUCAAUUUUACAUAGAUGAAAUUUGAAAGUUCAUGUUUAUUGGUCACUUCGUGUUAGUGUUACUCAUCCAGCUGCUUUGCUAUGUAGUUCAGUACCCAAAUUUUUAUGCCCUGUACUAGAGAUCACAACUUUUCAUCUUCUGUUAGUCGUUUAGUCCAUUUAGUGUUAGUCAGGCAGCUGCUUAGCUACUAUCAAGGACAAAACUGUCCUCUCUGAAUAGUGAAUACAUUGUGUUCAUAACCUGACCAUGCUGAUCUCAUUCUCAUAUAUUAACAUUAUUUGGAUCCAUGGUUGUUGACCUGUGGUGCUAGGCUCAAAUUACUGAACUUUAGCUUUUAUUGUUUCUCUGCUCUUGACUUAUUUGGAUGAAGUCAUUUCUCUUGAGUACUAUCAUCUUGAGGGGCUAACUGGAAUGGUAUUCCUUCCACAGUAUGUGAUGGUUGUUCUUAAAGGUUCAGUCCCUAUGGCAUUUGGAGGUACCCAGGAGCCUCCAAAUCUUUGAUAUUGUCCUUAUGCGAGAAAUCUAAAUACUUUGGUAUAUGGUGGAAAUUCUGAAACUUUACUGCUCACAUUCUAGUUCCAGUAUUUAUGUUUGAUUGAUGUAUAUGUGCUUGUUAAUAAUUGUUCUCUAUUAUUUUCCCCACAGUGAGCAUACCAAAUGUGCUCUCAUGUCAUCAGCAUAUGUACAUUUACACUGCGAGAACUACUUCAAGUGAUUGAUGGAUUAUUGGAAUUUCAUUUGGAAGAGAUGACAAGGUUGUUGAUAAUUCACACCUAGAUAACUUAUUUUGGAUGAUGUUCAGUUCUGUUUGCUGAUGUUAGGAAACCAAUUUUGUUGCUUAAAGUUUGCAUGAAAGAAAAAAAAAGCAGAAGUUAUAUAUGCCUUGUUAUACCAAGUCGUGGUUGAGAAUCUGCUUCUAAGUUUUCAAGGUUUUUUUACCUCUAGCACCUUUCCAUAUAACUUUGUUUAGACUGCAUUAGUGAUAAAUGGAACCUUUGGUUUUUCAUGUCAGAAUGAGCUUAGAUGUACACUGGUGCAGCAAGAGGAUCAAAGUGCACAUGGUGGCUAUUUUUGAAAGAUUUUGUUAUGCAAGCAAAUCAUAUGAGUUGUAUUGUGCAAGCUACCCUCUUAGUUUUGUAGCUACUUGCGUAUAGCUUGCUUAUUGCCUUUGUAUUUUCUAUGAAAAAUUGUACAAGUACAAAUGUUGAUGGUUUCAAUGAAAAGAUGACCAAUAUUUUGUCAAUUGUGAGCUUUCUUCCAAUUUAUGUGUAUUUCAUGAGCGUGCCACAAACACAUGGGCAUGAAUAAUGGGCCAUAAACAGCCUACUACGUGUACCAGAAUUAUGAUGGUUGUGACAUUUUUUGUAGUGUUUGUGACAUUUUUUCUUCCUGCCAUGUCAGCUGCCACGUGGCAAGAUCUACGAUUUUGUGACAAUAAACCAAUGUCAUAUGCUUGUGACAUGAACCAAACAAAUGUCACAUAAUCAUUUUAUGACGCGGGCUUUUCCACGUUUUGAUUUUUGUCAACUUGAUGUCACAAAUCUUAAUUUGUAACAUAAAUUCCAUAUAUUGUGACAUAACUAAACGUUAAAAAGCCAUGUGUUUCUUGUAGUGUAUAUAGUUUGGUGAGUUCCACAAAUACCACCUAUAAUGAGUGAUUCGAGUGUGCUACAUGAUGGUGAAGGGUAAGCUAAGUUUCUCUUUGCAAAAAUAUUAUAAAACUCCACGUGACAAGGUUGAAGGAAAAGAGAACUCUAUUUUGUACUAUUCCAUCUUCAACUUCUCAAAGUUUUAUGGUAGACACUUUGAAUCCUGCAGUAUAGGUAUGACUUGGAAUAAAUCUGGUGAUGUCUUGGUUUGAGAUUAUGAUUAAAAUAGUCUAUCUAUCCUUUUUCCUUGAGGAUGAGUAAAAGAUAAGUGUGGGGGAGUUUGUUGAUGGUAGAUAACUCCUAAUUUUAACCGUCAACUUAGCAUGAAAAAGGACCUAUUUGCAACCACUCAGUAGAUAUAGGAUUACCACUAACAAAAUUCCAUGAGUUUUGGUGAUUGUCUAUUUCUACACGGGGGUACUGGAAUAAUAACAAAAGAAGGUCCACAUGUCAGAUUUACAUAGAGAGAAGGCUAGAAUGUCAACUCACGAACAAUCUAGAAGACUCCAAGAGCCACCACAUGAAACCUAGGCCCACAUGGAAGCGACCCAGGGACGGGUGCCCCUACUAGGUGGGGUGGCUGCUCGGGGCUCUCCACCAAGCGAACUAAACCUCACGGAUCCUGCCUCCACCGACUUUGAGGAUUAAUCUUAAGCACACAUUUAAGUCGGUUUGAUCCAAGGGCUAUGGUGAUUCCUUAGGGGCUAUAAAUAAAGACCCUGACCACCCUUUGAUCUAACUCUAAAACCCUAAUUCAUAUUUUCUAGAGAGAGUUAGACAGACAAGGGUCCCUUUAAUGGAUCUGUCUCUAUAGGGUGAUAGCAACAAGAGAGAUUGAGAGAGUAUAGGGUGAGGAUAGGAGUUGAGGAAGCCUAGCCUGUUAGUGCCUUCUUCUUUGGUUCUUUAGGAUUAAGUCUCCUAACCCAAGGCUUGGUUCUAGAAUCAUUCGACAAUUCAACUUUUGAUACUAGUAAGUUAUUGUUCUUAUUGUUCUUUGGUUUACGAGUUUACUUUAUUCGCUUCACAUAGGGAAUAGAGUAAUUACUCGUAGCAUAAGCAUGGUGCUUGAGCUAGGAAUACUCGUAGAUACUCCCUGUUUGGCUGGAUUUGUGGUAGCUUUGGGGGAAAGUGACAAUCCUCUCAAGUCUCUAUAAUCCACGUCCCAUCAGGAGGUAAGGUAGGGUAUAUGGUACUACGGUUAAGCACUCUCUGAGGUGUCUCUUUUCUCUAGUUACUCCCCUUAGAACAAUAUCUACACACUUACCAUAGGUUAGAAGAAGACUGAUGAAAGAGUUCUCUUUGUAUCGCUUAUAUCUCACUAUCUUGUCUUGCAACCCAUGGGUAGUAGGUAAGAUAAAAUGUUAGUCUUUUGCACGCUUUCUCCUAGUGGUAAAAAAUAAAUACGAUACUCCGAUAUCUAUGCGCUUGCGGAUUAUUUCUCUUUGAGUCUUUCAUGUGUGUAAGUAAUAUCAACAUCUAGCACCCUACAAAAGAUCCUAGAUAAGCUAAUAAGGUGUCGAUCUUAGCUAGUUCUCACAUAACCAAUUCUAGCUUGCAAGGUCACACAAACCUAUGCAACUAGUACUUUAAGCAAACCGGAGCACCUACACAAACAGGUGAAACAAAGCACUCAAAGCCUAAGCUCACUAGCAAUGCUCAAUAACAAGGCAACCAAUACCAAAUUUGAGAGCAUAAAAUACUUAGCUAUACAAACUAAGCAAAGUGGCUAACAAGUUUACACAAACUAAAUUAGUCACGCAACGGGAGCUACAUCUAGCUACACAUGCAUGAAGGUAACUAACAAGCUACACAAGCUAAACUAUUUACAAGAGAAACUACACAAGCACUAUAUAUAGAAUGUAAAAACAAGCUUGUGUAUGGCGAAUGCAAACCACCUUAAAGAGUAGACAAAGUUGACAUGGUGAUUUUUUACUGAGGUUCACUUGGUUGCCACCAAGCUAAGUCCUCGAUCAUUAAGACAAGCUUCAAGGUUGUCGUCGGUCCUCUUGCUAGUGGUGACCCAUAAGUCAUACUCUCCAACAUGAAGUGCGAUCUAGCACUUGACUCGGUCAGACCAAUUGUCGCCCUUCGCAUCUCGCUUUACUAUAGUUUCUCUUUGUGAUCACCAUAGCGUGAGCACCGUACUCCUCACAAAUCUUGUCCUAUGCUUCAAUGGAGUCACAAGCCCCCAAGCCAUCUAGGUGGUGGCAACCUCCAAGAGUAACAAGCACCACUAGCUUGCAACAUGAACACCUAGUGCCACUCAAUGUAAUCUCUCAAUGCAAUUGCACUAGAAUCACUCACUCACUAUUGAUUCACAUUCUAGCUACACAAUUGAGUUAGAGGGCUCCAAAGCACUCUCAAUCAAGGACACAAAGUCCCCCAAGGUGCUCAACAUCAGCCAUGGCUGAGAUAACCUAUUUAUAGCGCCAAGGGCUAAGUUAGCUAUGGCUCCUUCAAUGGGCAAAACGAGUGUUCAUCGGACUUGCAGGUGCAAUGCACCUGACGCUCCAGCCAGUGACUGACACUCAUGUAACUGCCAUGUGUCACCAAUGGCCAACUCUCAUGCGUGCCUGACAUGGUCACACUGGACGCUCUAAUGAAAACCACCGGACGCCAAUGCCUCAACUCAAAUGCAACUCAAAGAGGUACCAAAAAUGGUUUCUUGACAACGAACGUGUUUGACAUGCUGCCAUCGAACGUAGCAAGCUGUCAACGGUCCUUAAAUACCAAAUUUAACUAUCAAAUAAACAAGGAAAAGGAUCUAAAUGCAACCAACACCUAGACCUAGGGUUUUAUCUGACAGAAUUCCACGAGUUUUGGUGUUUGUCUAUUUCUGCAGGGGGUAUCCGGAAAUAUGGAGGAAAGGCC